RNAcentral lists this long non-coding RNA (74431 nucleotides) under Phoenix dactylifera (date palm). Its description in RNAcentral is "long non-coding RNA (PDAC_LNC006439)". The record is from RNAcentral. Lineage: Eukaryota; Viridiplantae; Streptophyta; Magnoliopsida; Arecales; Arecaceae.
UGUCUUUUGUUUCUUUCUUGUAAAAAUAUAAUGUACAGCCUUCUUACUCGCUACCAAGUCUUGGGUAGUGCAUAGCACAUUGCAAUAUCACCACUAUCCUUGGGGGCAGGUUUGUGUUUGAGGGUCUGAGCAACCCAUAUUCACCUACAGGAUCUUGGUGCCAAACCUGAACUCAACCCAUUUACAAUUGGGGUAGUCGCAUUGAACCAAAUUCAAGCUGAUUGUAAAAGACUCUUCACCCAAAUUCCUUUUGUUUUAGGCAGGUUCAGGCAGGUUUGUGGGUCUGGGUUAGAAAUUGCCAAUUCAUAUCCCACAAGCCGUUGCUGUGUUUUUUGGGUGAUGAGGAUCAAAUCCAGCUAAUCAAAAGAUAUUUCCUUAUUUAGUUGGAAUCAUUUAUGUGCGCCAUGCAAUGACUAUCCUGGAACUGGUGAUUAGCAGUCAUAAGUAAAAAAUUCACAGUCAAAUGGUCUAAUCUUAUGGCACUUAAAUGCUUGUUUCUUUAUGUUGGAAACCCAUGUUUAUCAUCUACCCGUUUAGUGUAGACUUGAAGAAAAGUCUAACCUUUUUUUUGUCCAUUCAUACUCUGAUCUAUAAACAGAAUUUUACUUUAUUGUAAAUCAGAUCUUCAGAUAUAUUUCUGAUUAUUCUUCCUUUUUAUGCUGUCUACUUCUCAAUGCUUGGAUUUUAGAUAGUUGGGUAGAGAACUUUGAUCCAUUUAGUUGGUUAAUUUUGACUUAGAAGGAUUGAAGAGAUUGCUAGUUGCGUGAGUCGGACUACUCAUCUUUUCGUAAAUCAUAUGCUUCUUUUGCUAAGAACAAUUGACAAUAAUGGAAACCAAAUGAUUCUUUAUCCCAUUUUAUUUCUUUAUUGGGAUCGGCUAGUUGUUGUAUGCCCUUCUCAAAGAGCUUAGGUGAGAAGGUGUUGUAGAUAAAGUUCUGAUGGAACUGUUAUCUAAUAUGUUUCUUUUUCCAAUCAGUGUGGUUGGCUGAUAAUCUGAUAUCAUGAGGAAUAUGGGGUUCCAACUGUUUUAUGAGCACUCUCAACUCAGAAAAAGAGAGAGAAAACAACAGUUUCUGACCAUCCUUUAGGAUAAAAACGAGAAAGGCUGGAGAUAACCUUUUUUGAUAGACCUCUUUGUUUGACCACUCAGAGAAAAAGGGUGGACAAAAUAGCAGAUAGUGUGUAUUUCAAAAAGGGAGGAAUAGAUACAAUAAUUUUUUACGUACAAUUUUUUUCCUCUUUCUUGUUUGUAGUUGUCUAGAGGCAUUUUUAUAAGCUUGCUUAGGAUCAAGGAUUUGCACUUGUGAUAGUGGAUUUAAUUGCUUCUAUCAUUUCAAUCUACAGUUUGCGAUUUAUUACAGAAAAGUAGAUCUAAGAUCUUGUCAAUGAGGAUCAACUAACACAAACAUAAUAUGUUUAUUGUUGAGGAGAUGUGCAUCGAGUUCAUCUAUAUGAUGACGGACACAAGACAUGAAUAGAGGAUCAGCAAAACAACAAGAAAUGCUUGCAUUAGCUCAAAAUGGGAAAAGACAGCAUCUAGGGCUUGAAGUAAGAAUUCUAUUAAAAAUGAUCCAACAUAGAAUUCUAUUAAAAAUGAUCCAACGUCUUGAUUAAAUGCGAAGGAAGAUUUGUACCAAGCACUAAGAUUGAACAAACAUUGGAAAUUUCAUUCAUGAAGACAGUUUGAUAAAGUCUGCUUUUAGCUUUUGAAGAGCCAUUGAUAUAAAAAUCCAUGGGAGAGUCUUCAUCAAAUCUAGAAGUAGCAUCUAGUUAGUGUAUGCUGUGAUUCUGAUCUAGUUAGGAUGAAAAUCAGCUGAAAUAAAAUCAUGACUUAUGAAGAGAAGUUCAUCUCAGGAUGACUUUACAAUGGCUGACCACCUUUAUAGUUGUUGAACCCUUCAAGUCUAACCUCAAUUUAUGGCUACAUGGGAAGGAGAUUUAUAUUCGUGGAAGGAAACAAGGGAUGAUAAUCUCUUCUGUAAUUGGUCAGGACUGAUAUUAAUUUAUUUUGAUGUUGGGUUCUCUCCAUUAGAUAUUUCCAAGUUCAGUUUGAUUAGGUGAUGAGCCCCGCAUGAGCCUUGUCUCAUCAAAUGUAAUGCCAUCAAACAAGCUGUUUGUUCGUUAGCAGCUCAAUUUUUGUUCGAAACUCAGCAUCAACUCGCUUGACUAAUAAAUGAUCUGAGCUUGAGCUAGGAUUUUAAGCUCAAAAUAUAAACAAGCUAGACAUGAGCUGUCAUAUUUGGCUUAAUUAAGUGCCACCAUAUAUAAAUGAAGAGCAAAUAAGUAUUAUGAAUUUUAAUUUAUUUUUAUCAAUAAAAUAUUUAUAUCUGUAUUUUAUGUAUGACAUGAAUAGCUAGGCAUAUAAUGGAAUUUUAUUGGCUGUUAGAUAACGACUGAAACAUUUAUUAAGUUCAGCCAUCAGGUGGAGAUCUGGUGUCUGGGAUAUAAGGACCUUGGAUCAUAAACAAAGAUCCAACACUAAUCCUCGCCCUCCUGAAGUUUCAAACAAGGCCUCCCUCUUUGUUUUGCUUCGCCAUCCCAUUUACCCCAUUCUCCUCCCUUAUUAGUUUGUAUUCACAUCUUCACCCUUAUAACAUUCAUAACUGGUUGUUGCAACUACCGCAAUCUCCAAAAUUUUCAUUACUGCUGCAGUGUUCAUAUGUAAAGGCAACCCCUUGCUGUUCAAUGUUUGCCACCAUCCUCCCUCUCUCCCCUCCAGCAUGCUAUCACUCCCUUUUGCCAUAAUCUCUGAACCCUUCCCCUCCCCUUCUCAGGCCCUUUUAUUAGUGCCUUUAGGUUGAUGUAGUUCUCUGUGUUAUCCAGUGCUUUACGUCCUCUUCGUAUAUGCAUUUCAGAUCAAGUAGAAUAUUGGAGUCACUUUUGUUCCUAACCUUUAUCCCCAUCUUGUCAAACUAAUGUUAUCAAUUAUUUUAUCAUGUCUCCUUGUUCUUCUUGCAGUUAAACCAUUUAUAUUUCAACUUGCAAAUCACAGAAAGUGUCGUGCUGCUGCAGUCAAAAGAAAUCAAUUGACAAAAAGAAGUCUUAUAAAGUCCUAAAUUCUGUAAUGCUGUAUAUAGUAAAAUAAUUAGCAGAUAUUCUUCUCAAAUCCUGAUGACGACUUUCAAUGGAUACAAUCCAAGAUAUCAAAAUCAAUUUCACCUUUUAAAUUAGUUGCUAUUUAUACCCUUAUAGAUUUCUAAAAGAAAUUUGUUAUUUCGUGUACAGGAAUGUGACACGUGGUGGGAUGAUGCGGAACCUUCAAUGACAAUGAACUCAAAUUGAAAACAGCUCAGGAUACUCGAAGAGAUCCAUUUCUCUCUGUUUCUUCUUUCUUGUUUCCUUUUACUUUGUUCUUCCUUCAUUGAUUUGACAGUCAAAAUCAGCACAGAUCACCCUGCGAUCAUCCAAUUUGAGGAUGUAAAAAUCAGAGAGUCAGUCUGCAUCUGAUUUGACUUCUUGUAAUUUAGUGGAAGUGAUGCUGAAAGUUGGCUAACCUUAUGGCAGUCUCUUUGAUAGGGCGAUGCUUAUUGGGUUGUUGUAUAGGUUGAAGGGCCUUCAUUUUUUCCCUAUCUAUUUGUAAUUUUAAGUGUGCUGGUUUCAUUUUCUCACCCCAGUUGUGAAUAUUAUCGUAAUUCAGAUGAGGAUGCAUGAUAUUCACUCUUGUCAGGUUCACGUUGAUUUCAGCUUACACCUUUUGCUCCUUCGCUUUUAUGUUCAUUCAGAACUAGAAGCAGAUCCAAGAAGAGUUCAUUUAGGUUCUGAAAAGGCAGUGAUGUUUCACUAAGAUAAUUAUUGUUGAUGUGGAUGCAGUUUCUUGUCAUUAUGCUUGGAAAUGCAUUGAUCACUCAAUACAGGGUAAUUUGGAAACCAUACCAUGACAUGAUCUUUAUGGCUAUCACCUGCAUUCCUCAGAUAUCUCAACGGCUGAUUUAUCUCCUGUGCCGUUCAUAGCUGCAGAGGCCAUAGUUCCUGCCAUGCAGAGAUUUUGGAGAUUCCAAAAUCCAUUUAAAAAGGCGAACUCUAUCUUGUGAUUAUGAGAUUUUGUAGACUUCUCAAGAUCCACUUCCUUUUAUUCUUCCAUAUAAGUUUCUUUGCAUCUUUUCAUUCACCAGAUAACUGUCAUAUAGCGAAUGCUCCUACAAUUUAUUCCAAAUCCUUUCAUUCUUUCGGACUAUGCUCGCAGACUGCAUUCAGAUAAUUGCCAAUCAGAUAGCUGUUUUCUAAUGUGCCGUUUGUAGUGCAUUUGACUGAUUUUUUUUUGCUCUACCUGAUGUAGCACAAGUGCAGGGAAAAAGGAGAAGGUGGAAGAACAAGGAAGGAAGAAGAGGUUAUAGAGAUGCAGAAAGAAGAGAAGGGGAGGAUGAAGAAGUAGAAGAACAAGAAGGAGGUUAGGAUUUUUUCAUUCUAUCAUCAAUUCUCUCAUACAUGAGGGGGGUGAUUUUUAUAUAGACCUUACAUCUUGAUCAAAUCAAGUAAUCAAUUGAUCAAAUCAAUCAAUUGACACUAAUUAAAUUUGGACCCUUACAUCAAUUAAUUCCUUACCAAAUUUGGUCUUGAUCCAAUUACAUAAAUUUAAUUGAUUAGUCUAAUAAUAAAACAACUGACCAAAUUGACUUAAUUAAGACAAAAGUAAAUAAUAUAAUAAAAGAAAAUGAUUCGGACUCAAAUGGAUUCAAUCCGAGUCUGACUCAAUUCAGGGGCUUAGGAUCAUCUAGAUGAAAGGCUCUGAUAUUUCUAUCACUAUCCUUUUCCGAUCUCCUAUCAUUUUUUUUUCAUGAAACCCUAUGGGGGUGUUGGACGUGAGACGGAUGGCCGGUGUUGUAGCAUAAAAUCCUUGUCCCCGUUCUAUUGUUUUUUCCCUUUUUUUUAUUUUUUUCACUCUCAUUUAUUGCGCUUCCAAAAGGUACUCAUUUCAGUAGCGCCAUGGAUGCUAGACAAAGUCCCAAAUUGGAAGUACUUGAGAAAUUGGUUAAUAGAUCGAAAUAAUCAGGUUCCGAACUGAGAAAUGGUACAUGCCCGAAAAAAUUGUUCAUCUGUGCUACUUUUUCUACUGAUGCACUGCAGAGAACUCUCCAAUUAUUUAAAGCUCCCGUUCAGUGAUUACUGCAGUUUUCAUACGGGAUUUGACCUCAGCCAAGCUAUUCAUUUGCUUCAAAGGGUUUUGCAAGAAAAAAUCCACUUGGUUUUUGUCUUUCCCGGAAGCAACAUGUUUUCGUCUUUGUCGGACAAUUAUAACCCCUUCAUAUGAUCAUUACAAAAAUAUUUAGUUUUAUUAUGCAUGCAAUUAGUAACAAUAUGUACGCUUAUAUGAAAAAUGCGUGCAUUUAUUUGGGAGAAAAAAACAUUUAUUUGGUGGAACAAUAAAAUCGAAAUCAAAGCAUUUUCUGGGAAAAAAAAAAAGAGAGAAAAAGGCUGCACUGCAGGUGCCUGACUGUCAUAAAGGUCUGAACAAGCAAUGGAGAGUGGGGUUGGACUGCAAUAUUCAAAUAAAAGGGAUCCCUUUUUUUUCCUACAAAAAUAAAAAUAAAAUAAAAUUUUCAGAGAAAAGUCCACUCAUAUCCAUCGCCCAUGAUCCAUGUAAGGCACUCAGCAUGAUGCAUGAUGAAAUAUUGGCUCUUAAUAUUUCAGCCAAUAUAAAACAAUAUCUGUUCAUGUUUCUACAGAAAAUAUUAUACUAUAUAAAUUGGUCCCCCAAAUGAAUCCCAUAAUCAUGAUCACCUAAGCAGCUCCUGUUUCACUCAUUGGGAUAUAUUAAUGGUGAUAUCCCUAGCAUCACUCGGCUAAGAGCGUUAAUAUUAAGGUGAACUAAUCUAUUGAUCGAAAAGUCUUUGAUUAGACACUGAUUUGCCACAAACUUAAGCAAUCUACACCUGAACUUUGGCAAUUUCUUUUUGAUCCAGUCAUUCAUGAUUUCUGGACAAGGUUUGCUCUGAAUAGCUUUUGAUUCAAUGGUGAGUUUCAUGGCUAUGUUUAGGUCAUCAUGAAGGGUAUUUUAUCAUCUACAGAUGCCUUUAUAGCAGUGGGUAAUGUAGUACCUUGAAGUGUAUAGAAUAAUUAAUCAGAGUUCAAAUGGUUCUUCCAUGCAAUUAUGGUGGAGCAUAGAGCAAUUAGUCUAGAGUGACGAUUUAAUCUGCAAAAAUUUUCUAGCCCUUCUUCAAUUAAAUCAUCACAGCAUAGAACAUUUUGACCAAUACAUGGCAAAAUAUCAUCCCUCCAUAAUAAAUUAAAAGAAAAAGUAACUUAUCCAAGGUCUACUCUAAAUUGGCUAUGCUGCCUACUAUUUGAUUACCUUAACAUUUAAUGCAAAAGAUUCUUGCUCUCCCUUUUCUAGCUUUUUCAGAAUUCAAUAAAGUUGAGCACGAAGCAUUUUAAUCUCCUAAGUCAACAUUCCUAGAUGCCAUUAUAAUUAUUAAUUUUUAUCUAAAACUUUUCCACCACCAUGAAUUCAACAACUAAACUCAUAUCUUCAAAAAUGACCCAAAAAAACCAUUUGCUGCAUGCUGUAAGAUAUUCAAGUUAGCAUAGAAAUGCAAACUCCUAAGUCAUAAGCAAGUCCAAACUCAGUCAUCGUAUGAAAGUUUUCAUCCUAGUAGAGAUCAUAUUGAUUUGUAAUAAUAUUAGACUACUAAUAAGAUAUAUAAUUGAUAUUUUCACUUUUAAUACAUUAGCUCAUGUAAAUCUAUAUUUCUUAAUGUAUCAGCAGAUAAAAUAUAAAAAUAUUGGCUAUAAUUUUAUAAUGAGUCUUUUCAUGAUAUCAACUUAUUUAAUAUUAAGUAUUUGAUUUAAAUAUUUUGUUUACAUACCCUUUAAAAUCAAAUAUUUUUUGUAUUAAACCUUUCAAAUUUUUCUAAUUUUUGCAAGGAUACCUGUCGUAUUAGAAUUUUGACUGAUGGUGUUAAUAAAUAAUUAUGUUAAAUGUAAAAUAACUUUAUUACCCUUUUACACUAAUACUCUUAAAAAUUUUACGCAAAAAUAUAGCUCUUUACAACAUAGCUUAAAUAUUAAAUAUAUUCAAAUAUAUUAAUAUAAAAGGGUAAUACUAUCCUUUUAUACUUAAAAUGGUUUCUUUUUGACACCUUUAGUCAAAAAUACAAUGAAAGAUAUCACUAUAAACACAAAAUAAUUUAAAGGAUAUUACGUAAAUAGCGAUUUUUGAAGGAUAAAUAUGCAAUCAACUGCAUUUACAAGAAUAAAAUGUAAAAAAUUAUUUAAUUAAUAGUUAAUUAUAGUUAAUUAUUUAUUAUAUUAGCCGAGAUUUCUAUAUUUUUGUUCCUAAAAUCUUGACCUUUGAUCUUGCAACAUUUUAUCAUCUCUUUUUAUAGUAAAUUAUUGUGGUCUCUCCUUUAACUAUAUAUUUCCAUCUUGGCCAUGUUUAACCAAGACAUCUCUGCAUAAUAGGCAUCACCUGGAUUGUUGACAUAUUCAACCAAAAAAAAAGAAAAGGGAAGACAUGCAAGUAGCUUUCUUCCCAUUCUAUCUCAAGUAUUUAAUAAUUUUAUAUAAAAAAAUAUUUAUAUCCAAAUCAGAUGAAUACUUAUAAAAAACUAGUUAUCUUAAUACCACCAUCCCCCAAGCACCCCCCCCCCCCCGCGCCUUUACCACCUCCCAAUAAAUGGCAAAACUCUCAAAAGAUGGUAAACGAUCAUCCCGCCAACCAUAUGGACCCCACCUAUUAGACCCUGCACCAUUGAGGGUGCAAAACUGAGUGUACCGGCACACGAGUGUCGCUAAGUAUCCAUAUUAGAAAAUUAGGAAGUCUGAAAAAAAUUCAGACAAAAAGGUCAAGAGAUCAGCCCAUAUCCUCUCCGCCAACCCGAUUAGAGCCGUGUCUAAAGGCGCACGCGCAACCUCUCUCUCUCUCUCUCUCUCCGAGAUAUCUUCUUCUUAUUANNNNNNNNNNNNNNNNNNNNUCUUAUUGUAAGGAAAAAGUGGCCUCCAAAAAGGCAGCUUAAUUGGGGGGCCAUCUCGCCUUCUCCACUGCAGCCAUCUCUCUCUCGUGUUCUCUUUUGCCUUCCUCUGGACUCGUCUCUGGUCCUUGGUCUCUUCUUCCUCCCCUUCUCUCUCUGUACGGCUUCAUGCCCCACCGGUUCUGACCGCGAAAGAGAGUUCGGAAUGCUUCAGAGCUCUCCGGAGUGGUUCUAGUUGAUUUCGCCACGGAUCUAGCUUCAAUUCGAUGUAGAAGGUGCGCAGUCCUAGUUCUCCGGUGGAAAGAUAGGUUCUCGCGGCGGUUGGAGCGAUCUGGAGUGCUGGAUCUGGUGGAGUUCCAAGAAGAGAUGGAUCUGGUGGAUUUGGUUUUGGUUGGUAAGAGGAGGGGGGAGUUGAGGUGGUAGGUUUGGUGUGUCUGAAGGGAGAUUUGAAGUGAUGGCUACUGUUCAGAAGUUGCCGGGUUCGAGUUCGAGCACGGCGAGCAGCUACGGUUCCUGCAGGGUGGAUGAUGAGCAGUUCCCUGCGGGGAUGAGGGUUCUUGUGGUUGAUGAUGAUGUGACUUGCUUGAGGAUUUUGGAACACAUGCUACAGAGGUGCCGGUACAAUGGUGAGUAUGUUCCUUGCCCUGUACUUUAGUGAGAUCAGUUUUUAAGUUUUCGCUUAGAAUGGCGGGAAGUGAUGGCUUCUGCAUGUUUUUGAUGCAUGGCGGAUGUUAUGAACUAUCAUAAUUUAAUGCAAUAGACUGAUUAUCCUGCUGAAAAAAAAUAUGGCUUGAUGACCUGAUGUGAUAUUCUGAUGAUAAUGUGCAGGCCAUAUGGAUUAAAUCUACCUCAAAGUGUUGAAAUAAAAUACAUUAAACCAUGAAGUAAAGCUAGAACUUUGAACACUACUUGCUGAUGUUAUUAGCUUGUUGCUACCAGUGUCUUUCACUUUUUGUACUCGGAGGACAUUUGGUCACCCCACAAUGCACAAGUCUGUCCAUUUUUUCCCUAGGGAUACACAAAGUCGAGGGUAAGUCCCAGAGACAUGAUCGUUUAAAAUUGAGAAUCAUAUCUGACAAACCCUUUGACCAUUCCUUGUCAUCUAUCGAGUGUAUUGGCCAUCUUUCAAGAAACAAAAGGAUCUGUUUAACUUUUCUCUAGGCAUUUAUAAACCAAGCAAAGAUUAGUUGGGAUCCACAAUUUUGGUAGCAUAACUCAUGUAAGCUUAGGUAAUUGUUAAAAAUAUCCAUCAAUCAUCACAUUGUACUAUACUAAACUGAAAUGGUUAAAGUCAUGGGCAAAAAAGUUUAGAACGAUGGAGGAGAAUACUUAUUAUUCCUGAUGGGGAAAAUAUUGGAUACCUCGACUUCAGACCAGACCGACUUUGACCUUGGUAUAACCGAGGUGUACAACGUCGGCCUCAGCUGAGGAGCCAACCAACUGAUGAGAGCAACUUCGUCUCCAAUCGACGAGUCAAUCAACACGUGCUGACAAGGACGGACAGUUCUGUCAAUCGGCUGUCGUGACAGCGACUGGCCGUUGUGGCAGCUCUGUAAUUGAUGCGCAGCGAGGACCGUAUGCCGCCCACGCAGAGCGACAUCUAUGCUAUAGAUGUACACUUGACCACUAGUGCACGUCACAUCAUUCUAGGUAAACGACAAAACAGGCUACCCUAUAUGAAGAGGCAGUCCGGGAGACCUCAGGGAUGACUUACAUUAUUAUUCACAGAGAACUAUACUCUGCUGAACUUUCUUCCUUCUAUACUAUUGUCCCUCUAUUCUAACUUAGGCAUCGGAGGGUCCCCUUCGGAAACUCUUCGGCAAGCGGACUUCUUGCAGGCCAUCCCCGGAGAAAGCUAGUUCUAGCACACCUCGGCCACUUCAUCCAACUAGGUUCCUGCCGACUUCGAGGUAAUUUUGAGUUGCGCUCCAACCUCGGUCCGGAUUUAGCAGCAACAAUUUUAUUUAAAAGUAGAUUGUGAUGCAUAAGAGCUUGUAAAUGGACAAACUAAAAAUAUAAUUCUCUCACGCAGAAGAAUGCUUAAAAGUUUAGAAGUUGAUAGCCCUAGGGAGUGGAGAAGAGAAAAAAAAAUCAUCUGGUUGAUGAAAAGCUUGAGAUGUUGACGUAAAAGUGUAAUUCCAUUCCCACUGAGUAUGCAGAUUUACAUAGAACUUCCUCCAGAGAUAGAAUGAGCCAGAAAAUGUUUAAUUUGUACUUCAUGAAGAUCUAGAGAUGAUGAAUUCUAACAUUGGAAGAUAAUAGUUUGAUGUGAAACCAAACAAGAAACCCAAGGUCUUAAAGCACUAGGCAUGAACCACCUACAGCUUUUUUUAGACUUCAUAUUAGAUUUUAAGGCUUGCUAAGGUGAUAACUAGAGUUUACCUGGUUAGGCGGACCUAGGUAAGUGCUUGUAGCUUCUCAUAAUAGGCCAUUAAAGUUUUCAGCCCCAGUGAACUCAGUCAUAAGAUUCUUAGAUUUCCAUGAUUAGACCUUUUAGUAUGCUGAAUUCAGUGUAUUUGCCUUAUAGCACUCCAACUACUAGAAGGGGGCCUGUAGAAUUUCCAAGUUCAAUGAAUUUGUUCACAAGCCUUUUAUUCUCAAACAAUGAGGCUGCUGAAUUUUUUAGUAUGAAGAAUUUGUUCUGAAGCGUCUCAGUCUCCUACAAAGUGGUCUUUUGUAUGUCUACAUUGAGUGAAUUUGGUUACUAGUUUCAUAUUCUACAAUUGAUGAACUUAAACAUGUACAUAUUUGUUUCAUUCCUCGGGCUUCUAAAGAUCCUAUAUAUGAUGAACAAGGUUGAGUGCACUUACAACUCUCAUACACUUGCAGUUAACAAGUAACCAUAAGCUUAAACCUGAAGUCAGAAAGUCCUUGUUCUGUGGCUCAAACCCAAUCAUAAGCCACAUGACCAUGUUCAUGCCCUAUAUAUUAUCAAACAGAAAAACAUGUUCUCCAAGAUAUUAAGUAUGAAAUGAACUCAAUCAUUGGUGGGUAAUAUGUGACAGACAAUAAAGGGACUACUAAUGCCUAAACACUUAAUGGCCUCCUUAACAUUAAUUAGCUCUUCGCUCCACAUGUGGGUUAGAACCCGUUGCAAAGCUCGAUUGGAUUAAUAUUUACUGAUAAAAUAGCACAUUCAUUGAGGGCCUGCAGUACUUAAUCUGGACUUCCUAUACAUUUUCCGACUUCUCUCCUUUAUUGUACAAGUAAUUUGAGGCACACUAAGCCAAUGAUAACCUGCUUAGCCUAACUUUGAAACUCAUGUUAGAUCAUUUGGGGCUUAUUCCUGAAAAUCACAUGCCCAAUAUAUGAAUUAGCCUAAUGAGAUUUUUUUGAGUUAACCAAAAUUUGGUCAUGCAAAAUAUUUCUUGUUAAUCAAUAUUGACUGACUCACUUGUAAUUUCAUUAGUUGAAUAGUCAUAGUCUUUGCAAAUAAGUCCUAAAAUGUGCGCUGGUUGCUCUCCAGUCUUAGAAAGAAAAUCUCUAAGCCCGUCAAAGAUCCAAAUUAAUUCUACCAAGGGCUUUCAUUCUCUUUCUCUGUUAGUCAUUUUCCCCUCCUUUCUUCUGUCAAUAGCUUCUCUUUCUCACCUUAUCUUAUAUCCUACCCUUGUAAUUUGUGCCCAUUGCUAUUGUACAAUAGAAAGGGAACAUUUUUGAAUCAGAUUAAAACCUUUUUUGUGCUAGAACCAGUAAAGAGGUCCAUUUCCUUCUUUGAGGUUACAUCAAGUGGCAUUACAACCUUGUUGUCCCACUUCAAGAAUGGUGAGUUGGACCUUAUGCUGAUGCAAAGUUGUGAGCCCUUGUAAGGGUGGCUCGGUGCACGAGGCUCCUGCCAUUGUAGGAUCUAAGGCGGGUCAGAUGUAUGCAACAUUGCCUACAUGUGGAGAGACUAAUUCCGUGUUUUAAACCCAUGACCUCCAGGGCACAAUGGAGCAACCUUACCGUUGUGCUGAGUCUCACCUUCAACUAUGAGCCCGUCAUGAGAAUGAAUAAAUAUGGUAAUGGCAAUGGAUGUCAAGGGAAGGUACAAGCUAUUGGAGUUGUGUAAUAUGACCAAAAAUUCAACUCUUGUUCAUCCUUCGACGUCUACAGAAACCUCCAAGCCAAACAUGGAGGAUAAGUGUCUACUACAAAUUAAAGGAGAUAAAAUCAAAUUCUUCUCCUCCAAAAAUUAGUGUAGUUGUUAGAGCAUAUGGUUAAAGGAACUAAGGAGUUUGAAAAAGCAUCAAGUGAUGAACAGAAGGUGCACAUACUUUUGUGAGAGAACAUCAAUUUGUGACGGAAAGCAGAUAUUAUUGUAAUCUUCAAUAGGAGAAUCUUGAAACAUUGUCCACAAAUUAGUAAUUCAGAAAGCCACAUUUGAAGUAAGAGGUGUCAAAACUUGGUCUCUUUUCUGGAUGGACAAUGCAAAGAUGAAGUGCUUUGUGAUUUCAAUUUGAUGAUGGAGGAUUUAAUUGUGCAUUUGUGCUGUUUCAUAUCCAUGAUACAUUGUGCCUGCAAACUUUUGGCAUGAUAUAUGUUGCAUACCUAUGCACCAUCUGUGCCAAAUUGUUUCAUUAUUUAGAAGAAUAUAUACUAACACAUGUCUGCUGAAAUGCUUUUUGAUAUGGACUAUGCAUGGUGAUAAUUUGUCUUAUCCUUGUAACCAUCUUGAGCAAUCUUGUUUCUAUUCUAGAUGUUUUGAAACUACUCCACAAUAAUACCGUUAUAUAUAUAUAUAUAUAUAUAUAUAUAUAUAUAUAUANNNNNNNNNNNNNNNNNNNNUAUAUAUAUAUAUAUAUAUAUAUAUAUAUAUAUAUAUAUAUAUUCCAUACAUCAACAUUAUUAUGCCAAAUAUAUAUUAUGGUGUUGUUAAUAUGUGCCUAUAAUCAAAUGUCCACUUAGUUGUUUUUUGUCAGUUUUAAGAUUUUUGUUUUGUAUUGAGCACAAAUAAUUGUUUGAUGUUAUUGAAUAUGACCCCACACUUUGGAACUAUGAAAUGCACAUAAUAAAUAAUAAUCCAAAGAGCUAUUAAAGAUGAUUUAUGUGUCUAGUUCCGCCGACUAGUUAAAGACUAACUGUACAUGUUUAACAUAUUUUUGUACACCAUUGAGCAAAUAAAUUAGUUUAGGUUGAAAGAGAAUUGAUUAAAAUAGUGUAGCUUAGUGCAUUAGUUGCAAAUUUCUUGGGGAAAUUGAGGUCCACCAACUUGUUUGACUACCAUUCUACAUCUAGUCCUUGUUGACUUAGAACUUUAUUCCAGGUCCUGGAUUUUACAUUAGUAGCUCUAAGCAUUUGGUGAAACAAGUAGUUCACCAGAACCAGAGUCCAUAACCUAUCUAUUCAGUAAAAUAUGUACCUUACAAUAUAGAUUGGUAAAAUUUGGUACCUAUAUCCUACUUAAUGGCCCUUUUUUGAGCUACUCGUUUAUUAAUUAUGCUUAUUAGUAAGCAUAAAUAAUGCUUUCCAAUGUGUUGCUGCUGGAUGCUAUUUAAAUGAUUUCAGUCCAAUAGUGAAUCCUUCUAUAAUUUGCUAAGAUUGCAUAAUGCUGGAUUACUAGUGCAUGGUUUAAAAACAUAACCUUGUUUGUAGAAAGGGACCAUGAAUAAGUUAUCUAUUACUCUCCUUGGAAGCUAAUUCAUUUUAUGCACAAAAUACCUGCAUAUUUUUGUGCCUACAUUGAUCUAUAAAGUACAAUCUCAUCAUUGCUUCCACUUUGCACAAGGUUGCAAUACAAGAUUGUUUUAGGGGUUUUUUGCAUGUAUGCCCUCUAAAAUAUACAAAAUUGUAUGGAUACCCUCGUAAAAUUGCUAUUUGCAUGUAUACCCUCAUAAAAUACUUAUUUUGUAUGUAUACCCUUCUUUAUAUAUAUAUAUAUAUAUAUAUAUGCACCCAUACCAUCUAACGCCGCUAAAAAAUAAAUGAUUUAAAUUUGAAAUGACUGAAAUACCCUUAUAGUAGAUGCGUAAAAAAAAUGUUAUAAGGAUACAUAUGUAAAUAGCAACUUUGCAAAGGUGUUCAUGCAAUUACACAUAUUUAGGAGGGUAUACAUUUAAAAAAAUCCAUAAAAAUGAUCAAAAUUCAGUAAAGAUAAUUCUGUUAUUCUUAAUAAAAAAAGAUGACGAAAAAAGAUUAAUAUUAUCAUGUCACAUGAUCUCAUGUUAAUAUCAACUCUUAUAGAAUGAAUCAUAUUGCUUUUACGAAAUUCUUGCCUAAAAAAAAACAACUCAAUAGUUACAAAUCACUAAAAAAUAUUAUAAUAGUCUAAACAUCUAUAAUGAAUUUAAAUUUGAUAUGCUUUAAUCUUUUAAAAAUAAUGAAGAAUAUAUAGGUGUCAUAGAUUUAAUAAUGAUAAUUAUAUCAAAAUCAAAUGGAGAAUAGGAUUACUAAAAUGGUCACCUAAUAUUCCAACUUGACCGAGUCAUGAUCUUAUAAAGAAAAUUGACAAUGUAGCUCAAUCUUUUUUUGAGCUGUGGAUCCAACUGAAUCAUAAGAAACUUAGCAAGUUCUAACCGAGUUUUGAUCUUUAUUUUAAUAAUUUUUUGAAUGUAUACGCUUCUAAAUAUGAGAAAUUGCAUGAAUACCCUUGUAAAGUUGCUAUUUGCGUAUAUACCAUUAUAACUUUUUUCUGCAUAUCUACUCAUAAGGGUAUAUCAGUCAUUUUAGUUUUAAGCUAUUUAUUUUUAACGACAUUAGAUGGUACGGGUAUAUAUGCAAAAAAGAAAAAAAAGAAGGAUAUACAAGUAAAUAGUAAUUUUACGAGGCUAUUCAUACAAUUUCAUAUAUUUAGGAGGGUAUAUAUGUAAAAAUUUCUUUUUUUAGACAAUGGCAUUCCAAUCUUAUGUCAAUUGCCUGUUGGUGAUUUAACUUAUUUUCUGAAUUUAUAAUCAACUAAUUUGAUCAUUUCUUAAUUUCUUAUGCAAGUCUAUAGCUGCCUAGCAUAGUGAUGAUAAUUUUCAAUGUCUUGCAGUUACAACUUGCUGUCAGGCUACAAAAGCUUUAUCCCUUCUUAGAGAAAGGAAAGGUGGUUAUGAUGUGGUGAUAAGUGAUGUUCAUAUGCCUGACAUGGAUGGAUAUAAGCUACUUGAACUUGUUGGACUUGAAAUGGAUCUUCCUGUUAUUAGUGAGUAAUAUUCUGUUUACUAUUUUUUUGUAGUUUCUUUUCAAUUAGGAUAUAACCUGCUAGAUUUUCAAUUUGCAGUGAUGUCCGCUGAUGGGAGAACUAGUGCUGUGAUGAGAGGGAUAAAGCAUGGGGCAUGUGAUUAUUUGAUUAAGCCUGUACGCAUAGAAGAGUUAAAGAACAUAUGGCAGCAUGUUAUUAGAAAGAAAUGGAACGAAAAUAGAGAUCUUGAACAUUCAGGUACCAUGGAGGAAUCUGAUCGUUUUAGACGUGCUGUUGAUGAUACUGAGUAUGCUUCAUCAGUGAAUGAUGGAACAGAUGGUACUUGGAAAUCUCAGAAAAAGAAAAGAGAUGCUAAAGAAGAUGAAGAUGAUGGUGAACUGGACAACGAGGAUCCUUCUGCAUCAAAGAAGCCACGUGUGGUAUGGUCAGUGGAGCUCCAUCAGCAAUUUGUCAGUGCUGUGAAUCAACUUGGCAUUGACAGUAUGAACAUUGAUCACCAUGGUUUUUUCUUUAGUUUACGAUAUAAUUUAAAUCAUAAGACAUCUUGCUGGAGUCUGAAAACCAUCUUGUACAUAUAUAUAAUCCAUGCAUGUGCAAACACACAUAUGUAACUGAACUUGGUUCUGUGAUUAUACAUUGAAACGCAUGCUUGCAAAUAUGUACUUCAUGCAUUAUUGAUGGAUUUUUCUCAACUGUGCACAGAGGCUGUCCCUAAGAGAAUUCUAGAAUUGAUGAAUGUUCCUGGCCUGACUAGGGAAAAUGUUGCAAGCCAUUUGCAGGUCUGACUCUAACUUCAAAUAAAUUUUUUUUGGAAGUAGAUGAUUUUAAUUGUCAUAGGGAAGUUAUUUCAAGCUUUGGUAAGUAAAACUAAAGGGUUUAUGCUUAUUGCAUUUUUUUCCUGUUUACAAUUUGGACUGUAUAAUGUUUCAAUUCUGUCAGGUAUCUCAUUGACCUAGAGUUCUUUUUCCCUUUUUUUUAAAAACUCUGGUGUCUCAAAUACUCAUUUGUUCCCAUCUGUCAUGGCACAAAUGAAGUUAGAAUAUUGUGAUCACUGAUCGGAUUCUACAAAAUCAUGAUAUAUAUCGCUAAACAGGUUUGCCAAGAAUGCUAGUUGGAAACGUACAUCAGGUGAUUAAGGGUAUUACCUGUAUUGUUCAGUAGGUUUUGGUAUAAACUACUAAUUCAUUGCUUGCAAAAAAAUAUUCUAGAAGUUUUAUUCUUAUGCUUAGCUUUACCUGAAAUGAUUCUUGACCAAUGUAUCCUUUUAUUGAUCUGUAGUUCCAUAUUUUGGCAAAGUAUCUGACUCCAUUUAAAGUUUAAUUUGGUAACUUGAGCCUAGAAACUAGCCUAUAGACAGGGUUAACAAUACCAUAACGUGACUAGUACUGACUCUUUGACUAGUAAAAUUGGUCUGUUAAUGGGAUCCCAUAGGUCAACUUCCUUUAAACUUCAUCUAGUUCCACAAGACAGAUCUUAUUUCAUUUAAGUUGCUCUAGCUUUUUAUAUAAUUUUAGUCGGAUUGUCAAAUACAAUGUCGUUGUGAACAUAUAAAUAAUGUAUAAUAUUGAUAAAAUCAAGAUUUAUAAUCUUGCCACUGGAUCCUGUAUCAUUAACUUAUCAAUAUGGGAUGGGUUGGUAUGGUGUACUAUUAGAGUUGGCACAGUAGUUGUACCAUGUCUCGUUACAGCUCCAUACCAAGCCCGUAUACUGUAAAUAAUGUCAAUGUGACAAUUUAAGAAUAUUGGGUACUAUAAUGUAGCAACCAUGAAAUAUGUUCAACAAAUUGUGCCUUUCAAAGUAAAUAAUGUCUAUUUGACAAUUUAAAAAUCCUAAGAUUUUUAUAAACCUAUUGUCACAUGAAGAAGAAAAACAGAUUAUACAGUAGUGAUAAUAUGAGUGAUGCACUAUUGUACUUUGGUAACAUUAAAAGAUGAUAUAGUUACUUUUAAUAUACAAUUUCAUAUUUGGCCAAAAAUAAAUUAAGCACGUGAUUUGAUGAAUCUAGUAGCAAAAGCCAGUAGAAUUAUGAUUACAAACAUGGGAUGUUUCUUGUGCAUAUGUGAGUUAAGAACAAUGGCAACAGCUAAAAGUGGAAAAUUAUUAUUUUAAUAGCAUAAUGCUUGUGAAAAGGGACACAGGAAAAAUAAAAAAUAUCUAAUAGCUGUUAUAUCUCAUAAAAAACUCGUUCAUAACAAGAGAAUGUUGUUCUGAAGCCUGAGUGAUCACAGAAUUUAAAGUACUCAUCAAUUAUGAAGUAACUGCCAAUGAAGCAAGAAAUAUCCUUCCAAGAGGGAGAAUCAUUGCUUGGAAGCUCGAAAUGGAAAGCUUUCCUUAGCAGCACCUAGUACGCACCUAGUGGAUCAAGUAACUUUGGCUAUAUGUUUUCAAAGGUAUCAAUUUGGUCAGUUCUAUGUUGAUUUUGUGCUUUUCAUGCAAGCUUGGGUUAAGACUUGUAUGAAAGAGGAAAUCAAACAGAAAGUUUAAAGAAGCUAAUUAAUGAUUUGCAAUUUGAUGUUCAACUUUCUGUUAUAGUUUCCUUUUGCAUCAUUGAAUAAUUUUUCUGAAUUUUAAGAUAUUUUUUGCUAAAACAGUUGUAGUAUAUUAGUUGAUUCAUCAUGCCAAUAUUUGACUUUUCUUCUCCCAUCCCAUUUGUAAAAAACGUUGAGCAAAUUCGUGCCAUUAAUUUCAAGGAGGACAUUCUCCUUGCUAGGGGCCAUUCUGAUGCAGUCUUAUGGUGGAAUUUGAUUGAAACAUCAAGUUAGCCAUAGUUGAAGGUACAGCUUUCAAAGUUAGUUUCUAUGCCUUUAAAUGUGUGAUAUUGCUUUCUAAGUGGUUGCCCUAUGUGAUUUGUCUGGAAGAGUUAAGUAGCAGACAUGCUAAUGAGGGGAACAGCCUGAGAGCAGAUUCUCCAAAGGUGUCUAUCAACUUAGUUCUAUAGUGGGAUAGAAAGAGGCAAGCUUUUUGUGAUGGGAACUCAUUUAUCUUUGAAGCAUGAAUCAUAGGCCUAACAACAAACAUCAUAACAUGAGAUAGAAGGAAGCAAGCUUUUUGUGAAGGGAACUCAUUUAUCUUUGAAGCAUGAAUUAUGAGCGUAAUGACAAAAAUCAUAACAUAAGCUACUGUUUAAAACAUAUUCACAUGAACAUCAGAUUACUUAAUCAUAAAACCCUCACUAGCCAUUUGUUCAUUUCAUGGGUAAUUCUCAAAAGAUGACUUAGAUGCUUUUACUUCAUUAUAAACUGCAAAUACCAAUAUGGCAUAGAAUGCCUGUUCAUACUCAAUGAUUUAUAUUUUCUGUUAUUACUCUACUGAGCUUUAUUCAUUACAAAGAUGCACCUCGUGCUUAUAGGGUAAAGAAAAGAUAUUUAUGCUAUUCUUGAAAAAUAUGAACAAAAUUUUCACCAGCAAUUUGGUAAAAACGUGCAGAAAUUCAGACUAUACUUGAAGAGGUUAAGUGGGGUUGCUCAAAACCAGAGUGUGCUUCCUAAUUCAUUCUGUGGAUCUGUAGAACCAAAUGCCAAAUUGGGCUCAUUGGGCAGAUUUGAUUUCCAAGCUUUGGCUGCUUCAGGUCAAAUUCCACCACAAACUCUAGCUGCUUUGCAUGUCGAGCUCUUAGGCCGACCUUCAGGCAGCUUAGUGUUGCCAGCAGUUGAUCAGCCAGUUCUUCUACAUGCCUCGAUGCGAGCACAUAAGUGCAUUCCUGUUGAACAAGGAGUGGCAUUUGGUCAACCUCUAUUGAAAUGCCAAUCCAGUACACAGAAGCAGCUCCCUCAGUCCAACAUUGUUGUUGAAGACAUGUCUUCUGGUUUUUCAGCUUGGUCUAGUAAUCAAUUCAGUGCAACAGGUACUGCUGGCAAUCUUGGGGCAGUGAACAAAAGUCAGAGUGGUAACUUGCUGGUGCAGAUGUUACAACAGCAACACCCAUACCCUGUGCUGCCAGAAUCUAAUCAUGCAAUUAAUGUACAACCUUCUUGUCUUAUAGCUCCCUCGCAGUCAUCAAAUGGUUUCCAGAUAGGGAACAGUCAUGUUCCGAUAAAUCCGAACUCUACAGUGGAUACUGCUCUGUCAUCCACAAGCUUUCAGGUCAGGAGCAAUGCUCUUCCUGUUAAUCAAAAUUCUAACUAUACUAACAGCAGCACAGUCAUGGAUUACAACCUGAUAUCUUCUCAGUCACAUAAUGUACCAUUGGAUAUGGAACAAGUCUCAAAUGGAGACUUGAAGAAUGUUGGUGUGCUAAAUGGGUACUCAGUUCCAGGAUCAGUUUCACCAUCGGUGUCAUCCUGCUCAAUUCGUACAGAAAGCUGCACUGGUUGGCAGGUGCAGAACUCAAUAGUAAAUGUUGCUCCAGCAAGUAGAUUGCCCACUCACUUGCCUAGCUUGUGCAUUCAAGGAUCUGACUCAAAAACGAGUGCAUUGCCGGACCAAGGACGAGGGAGGAAUCUUGGAUUUGUGGGUAAGGGUACAUGCAUCCCCAGCCGGUUUGCUGUGGAUGACAAUGAAUCUCCAACUAAUGACCCGAGUCAUUGGAAUACGUGCAUUGGUAAUGAAAGGGUCAGAGUGAAGCAAGAGACUGUUUUGGAUUUUGGAGAUGGUUCUGGAGUCGAGAAUUCUAAGUUACCACAUUUCUCUUCGAAUGAUCUCAUGGGUGUUCUGUCCAAGUAGGUAAUUAAGUCCCACAAAUCUGCUUUAUUUCUUAUUUUAAAUAGGAAAACAAAAUCAUGCAGAUUGUGUUUGCAUUAUUGGCUUAUCCUUCUUAUCAAUACCUCAGAUUUUUGUGUGAUUAAUAGAUAAGGAUUUUUCUAUGUGUUCAAGAUAAAUUAAAGAUUCAUUGCUCAUUAGUCUGUUGCAAAAUUAGAAAGAGUUGAUCUCUGGUAAAUGACAUAUUGUGCUUAUGUCUUGAAGGCAUAGUAUCAAAUAUGAUUAUUAGGCUAGCUAUGCUACUCCAUCAGGUCUUUUGCUUGCUAAUAGCUUAUUUCAGAUAUGGAGUUAAUUUGUGCGCCAGGCACAAGCGACAUAGGACUGCAUUCCUGUGCAUAAAUCUUAGAUCUUGAGGCUUGACUGAUGACAGUUGAGCUCAUAACGUGCCAUGUGUCUUGUUGCCUGAUCCUGUCGCUAGGCAAGUGCUGUUCUGUGCUUGAUAAAUAUCAUGUUUUGAUUAAGAUCAAUUACUUUAUAACAAUAUCAAAAAAAAUUGCCUAAAUAAGGAGAGAACUUAUUAGGGAGAGAGAGCGGAAGGGGGGACUUACCUUGUCGGUGGCGGCCAACGUUGAAAGAGAGAGAGGCUCGAAGGAGCUAGGGUACGGUUGGAGCUUCGAGGGAAGUCAUCGGAGUGGGGAAGGUUGGGGAGACUUUUAUAGGCCGAACUGACCUGAAUGGCCAAAUCGUCCUAGGUUAGCAUCGAUUCAUUUUGGUACUGGCCGAACCGCUUGGUUUGGGUCGGUUUAGUGUUCCCUGAUUGCGGUUUAGUGUUCCCUGAUUGCAUGUGACAAAUUCCUAUAAAUAUUUUUUAAACAAAUAUGAAUAUAACUAAUGUUUGAUUCAUAUCCAUAUUAUUCUUAGAUAAAUAUAGAUAUACAUACAGUUAUACAUUACUUACAGACAUAUAUACGAGAAUAUGGAUACAUAUGUAAACAUGUAUCUGCAUUCAUUAAUAUUAAGUAAUAAUGAACAUUAAAAAUUGUUAAACCUGUCCUUUCUCUUGGUUCACAUGUCUUCAUCAUUCUUAAAGAAAGAGAGAAAAAGAAAAUUGGUCUAGAAGAGAAAACAAAAGAGAAAUCAAUUUCAAUAAUUGAACAUCACUUUAAUAUCCAAUUUGGAAUUGGACUUGAAGCUUCAGACUGGACUUCACUUAGAUAAAAAAGGCCUAAAGUGGAGAGGUCUUGGAGACGGACGUCUUGGACAUGAACCCAUUGGUAAUCUUGUUUUUGAAUUUGUUUUAAUCAAAGUUCGAAAUAUUGAGAAUCCAUUCCAUAUCGACCAAGGAUGGUUAAGGCACACACCAUAUUGAGGAUUGUACUAGCAAAGGGUAUCAAUGGGUGCCAUACACCCUUGGUACAACCCUUUUUGGCUCCAAACUUUGGUUCUAAAUUUUUUUAGUAAUAUUUUCUUAUCUGACUUUAUGUUUUUAAUUGUAUAAAUUGGGAAUAUGAAGUUUCUAGCUUAAAAAUGGUUUUAAACUGGUCAAUCUAAUGGGAAAACCCUUGCAGCAACCUGUCCCAUCUUCCCCUUAUUUCAACGUUCAAAUAAUUAAAAACAAGGGAAAAGCACACUUUAGCCCACUUCCGAAGUGGCACCUUGAUAUCGCUCAAUUUGGGAGUGGUUUUAGAUAGGUUUGGGAAAAACCAUCAAUCCAUCCCUGAAGUGCUUGAUCCACACAUCAUUAGAGUGGGUUGGGGGUAGUUUGUAUCAUUUUUGCUUGAACCAAGCCUCCUUGUAUCAUACCAAGCCUUCCUGUAUUGAGCCAGAACCCCAUGUAUCCAAGAGGUCUCUAUGGUACUCAUUAAUGGGUAUGCACCGAACUGUUUGGGAUGUCAAACCGGGGUAUUAAUUUAAAUAAGUUGUUUGAAUUACAAUAGGGCUAAUUUGUCUGAUUUGACUUAUUCUUGACUAAAAGUCAGUGCAUGGCAAAUAUUUUAUAUGGAUUGAUUUCGGUCCAUCAAAAGAACCAAGAUUAUGGACAAUGUUUCAUUUUGGCCUGAAACCCUGGUCCGUGAGGCAUUAGAUGGUUUGUUGCAUCAGCUGGAAUUUCUCGACAAGUAAUCUCCUUCAAGAAGCAAGAAUAAUGGUGAUGAGGUUGGCUGAAAUCCUGAUGCUGUGGGUGGAUGUGGAGAGUGUGCAGGGGAGAAGAACUUUUAUGAAGAAGACUGAAAAGGAUGGUAGAGAGGUCAAGAAAAGAGUUGACAACAAAAGACAAUAUAUUUAAAUUGCCAUAUAAACUCAAUAAUGAUUCUCAAAAUCUUACAUGAUCUAAUGACUUCUCUUGGAAGUUAGUAGUUUAGAAAGAUCCUUGAUAAUGCUAACCCUAGGCUACUUUUGUUCUAGACUGCACAUUUAUUGAGAGGUAUCUGUUAUGACUAAAAUACUAUUAGGCUAUAAAGCAUGGAAAUAGAAGAAUGAUAUGAAUAUGGCAUCGUCUGAAUAUGGUGAUAUGGCAGAUUCUAAGAAAAUGGGAUAUUAUAUGAUUAUAUAGGUAUAUAUAUUUGUAUAUAAUAUAUCCAUAUAUGUUUGUGUAUGUUUGAUUGUGUAUGAGAUGGACUAUGCUUAUCUCAAUAAAGAGAAUCUACUCUCAAUAUUGGAGCGUCCAAAUCGAAGAUUCACACUAUUGGGAACAAUCUAUACCAUUAAAAAUGCCUACAAACUAAAAAUUANNNNNNNNNNNNNNNNNNNNNNNNNNUAUAUAUAUAUAUAUAUAUAUAUAUAUAUAUACAUAUAUAUAUAUAUAUACAUAUAUAUAUAUAUACAUAUAUAUAUAUACAUAUAUAUAUACAUAUAUAUAUAUAUAUACAUAUAUAUAUAUAUAUAUAUCAAGGUCGGAGAAACUGGUACUGGGCACCGUACUGGUUCUCUGUUGGGAUGACUUGGUAUGGGCCAUGCCGGGCUAGUACCGAGAGAGGGCACGACACUGGGAGAGAGGAAGAGAGAGAGAGAGAAAGCAGGGGAGGGAGGCCGGCGGAGGCCGCGGCAGGCGAUGCCGCUGUUGUUCCUCUUUUUCGAACGAAACAGGGGUCUGGCCGUGGCUAAAAUAUUUUGCGAUUUUUAAAUGAAGUUAGCAAGAGAUUUACCAACUUUUCUUAAAAAUCGCAAUUUUUUUUAAUUUUGGAAUUCUUAAGUGAAAUCAACAAGCGAUUUGCCGACUUCACUUAAAACUUUCAAAAUUUUUUAGCCGCGGCCUGACCUUGUUUCGUUCGAAACAGAAGAACCGGCCGUGGCCUUGGCUGCUGCGGCCCCUCGCAGCCCUCCACCAGUGUUCGCCACCUCUCCUUCUCCCUCCCUCCCUUGGUUGCUCUCUCUUUCCUUCUUCUUCGGCUCCAACAAGCGUAUCGUUUUUACAAUCGGAACUGUAUCAGUGAGCCACUGGGACGGCUCGGAAUGGGUGGAACCGCCUGGUUCGGGAUGGUUCCGCCGACCUUAUAUAUGUAUGUAUAUAUACGUAUGUACAUACAUACAUAUAUACUAGCAAUAGGACAUGUGCAAUGCAUGUUUGUUAGAAGAAAGGAGGGAGGGAGGGGGAGGAGAGAGAGAGAGUGAUCGAGUUCAAUAUGUUUAGGAGUUGAAUUUGAUAGCCAAUUUGUUUGAGGGUCGAAUUAAAAAGAGAGAUAGAGCCCAAUUUAUUUGAGAGUUAAAAAAGGUUAUUAGGAAAGGUGAAGAAAGUAUCUGUGGUAGUUGAUGUUGAGAAAGUCAAUUAGGUAAGUAACAUAUUCUUAAGAUACAUAAGAAGGGUAUUCUUGGUAGAAAAUUUGACAGUCAUAAUCUAGAGAGAAUAAUCCUUGAUUUCGAAACUCGUAUAUAUGUGUGCGUGCAUGCACGUCUGUCUGUGUAUGUGUACUUAUGUAUACAUAUAUGCUACAUACAUACAUAUGUAUUAAUAUGUAUGUAUAUGUACAUGUAAGUAUGUAUAUGUGUGUGUAUGUCUCCAUUAAAAAGGUCAACAUUCAUUUAGAAAAAUCUCUCCGUUGUACACCUCAUUAUCUAGGAAGUACUUUGAGUAUUAGGGAAGUAUUCAGAUCCUUUUUUUAAUAUUAUUAAAGUAAAAAGGAUACUGAAGUACUAACACAUAUGCCUAGACAUCCUUGACUAGUAUUGGUAUAUGAUCAAAUACAAAUACAGAAUCCAAUUUGAAGUAUCCACGCCUCCUAGCUAUUAGGUUAAAUGCUUGCAGAAAAUGGAAUAAUUCAUCACUAAAUUACGACUGUAUAUUCCAACCAAUGUUUGUUCCCUAAAAGUGUUAGGAUUUGGCCAGGGCCCAAGGACUAUGAAAUAUCACUCAUAUGUCUUGAAGUGUUCUUUCUAAUGAGUAUAAAUUGGCUGCAAUGUAAAAAAGAAGCAAGGAGUUACAGCAUCCAUUAGCUUGCUGGUUUCUUGUUGACCACAGCAAAUCCUGCCUGUUGGAUAUGAUUGAUCUUAGAAUCUAUACUACAUCAAAUGUUUUCUACAGAUAUAUCACUAAGAGCACUAAGUGGAUUCUUGAGAUUGAGAAGAAAGGCAUGCAUUAAUUCCCAGAACAACCCUAGAAAUACAAUUAGGUCCAUUUCCAUGUGUCAAUGGGCAAUAGUUGGAGUUUGGAACAAAUUGGUGAUAUUAAAUUCGAAAUGAGGGAAAGGAAUUUGGUGACCCUAAUAAAGAGGGCUAAUGCUUGCGCUUAAAAUAAAGGUGAAUAUGGAAUUCAUAAAGUUGGUAAAGAAUCCCUGAAAUAACUGGUGGUCCUCUUGGAAAGACAUGUAAGUCCAUUUGAAACUUGCUGCAAUACCUGGUAUUAUAAUAUGGAACUACAAGCUUUGAAAGAGAAGUUGACGCUUAAGCAUUUGACUAUGUAUUGAUUUGAGAGCCAUAUUUGCCUAGCCAUUCAGAAGUUAGCAACAUUAGGAUGGCAAGGGAGACACUGAUUUUGAUAACUAGGAGGAGAUUUUGUGAUCAAUCAAUUCUACAUGCAAGCUUACAAUGCUCAGAACAGUUCUGAAUGACUUGAAAGUUAGCUUGAAGUUCUAUAAGGUACGAUAUUUUUGCCAAAUUUAGCAGGAUGAACCCACACAUCAAGACCCAUACAAAAUCACCAUAUAAACUUCUGCUUAUGUAGAAAAUCAAAGGGAGAAGGAAGAUGGUUUGAAUUGUCAAGAAACCACUAGAACUCAAAAUCUUAAGUGGAUAGGGAAAAGGUCAGCAAUGUAAAUCAUGCCUAACUCCCCAUCCCCACCUUAACAUGCAGCCCUCACCAUGAAUGUUGGGGCAUAAUUGAGUCAAGACAGAGAAAGAUGGGCAUAACAGACAACCAGGGAGAAUUACAUAAAUAACCAAACUCAAGGGAAUUCAAAUCCAUGACUUCCAGCAAAACCUGACCUCUGCCACCAUUUUAAUGAACGAUUAGUUCCCAAAAGCUUAAACUGAUAGGAAAAGGAUCAACAAUGUUUAUAAGUCUUGACCGAAACAAAGAAAAAGAAAGUUCAAGGAGGCACAUAUUAUCCCCUCGAUUCCACCCAGAAAAAGGACUAGUAACUGACCAAUUAUAUUAUUGCUGCAAAUUCUAGAUAUCCAGAGGAGGGAAAUAUGGAGAUCAGGUAGAGAGGCAUUUUGAAAGGAACCAAAGUAAAUCAUCUCGAUUGUGGUCGAAAAUGGUGGCAUUAAUUGAUGGCAGAUCCCACUGAAGAUAUGUAACUAAUUGUCAUAAGUUAAGGCUAUGUCCAAGUUUUCCUAAUUGUCGGUAUAACUCCUAUGCUGGUUUAGCUGGAGGAAAUGUCAUAACUAUCCUUUGCUUGCAGUAUUCACAUGGGACCCGAUUGCCUAAUUUACUGCAUGACUCCACUUGGGAGGCUACGAAGAAACCCCCAGGUGCUAAUUUUAUCAGGCUAACAUUUUUAAUGAUGACUGCUGUUCUAUAUCUGAAACUGAUAAUCUUUAAGCAGGUUUAUUCUGGCAGGGGUUUCGGUGUUACUCCAUAUUGUAUUCCAUAUGUACUAUAGCACAUAUUUGCUUGCAUCAUUUAAGGGCGUGUGUUAUACUGAUUCAUGCUGAUGUGUGUUAUGUCAUAUCAGUCAUUGUAUCAUAUGAUACAUGGUUAUAAAGGCCAACACGGGAUGGCAUCUGGAUGAACUUCACAUAGAUGCAGUUGAUGCUACCCAAGUUGAAUAUUUAAUUCUUCUUUCUCUUGUCCUGUUGUUCAUGUUUUCGAUACCUAUGUCUAGCACUCGUCUAUUAGAAACCACAAUGCAGCUUUAGUAUAUCCUAGUGAUGGAUUUGUUUAAAGUGGUCUCUCUAUCCCAUGAAAAGCCAGUAAUGUAACCUUAAUGCACAAGAGAAAUGUUUCCACCAAGUCAUUUAGCAUCUCUGGUAUCUUUUAGUGGUGCCAUGUUUUUGUAUUAUUGGCACCAUAUUGUAUGGUAUGCAUGCUUUAUUGGUCCCUAACUGGCAUGGGAUAAUAUAAAAUAUUUUCUUAGUUCUCCAAAACCAAGCAGUAUGCUGGAAGGACUCCUGUAGGGCCAGGACAAUUUUUGGUGCAUGUCUAAUGCACAAUUGAUUUUACAGAAGAUAUCUUUGAAGUUGGUGCAACAGCCUAGGAAAGAGAUUGGAAUCUCUAUCAUGUAACUGAAGAGCAACUGCUCGAAACUUUCAAGUUUGCACAUAUGCAUUACUAAUGGUGCAGCACGAUAAACAUUUAUGAUAGGAUGUAAUGAUCUGUUAAAACGUGAAAUCAUUGAUGUAUCAGGAUGUUUACUGUAUGUAGUACAGAGUCUAAAAUAUGGUAUAAUCCAAGCCAUCCUGAAGUUUUCUACCAAGAUCUGCUUAAAUCUGUGUGCAUAACAUUUAAGCAUGCAAUUUUUGGUAUAGUAGUCUGAGCAUGAUCAUUUGCCACUUUAUUGUGGUGAAUGUGUAUCCAACAAUGUCGCCAAUUAUGUAAUCUGAAGAUCGUCGAGUAAAAUGUUUUGAGCCAUGCAAACAGACAAGCUUUUCUUGCUUCUGGGUGUUGAAUUGAUUGGUAUUUUGCAUGGCAUGUGCUGCCCUUGGUUCUUAACUCGAAAGGAUGUAUUCAUUUUUGGACAUGUAUAUGCAUGUUCCUGUGAUUUUGAGCAAGGUUACCAUGCUAGAAUAAUCUGACUGGAUUGCUUUCUUUGCAGGGAUGGGUUGGCAGGAUGCUACCUGAAAUCCUGAAGUCCUGAAGCUGCUUCAUUAUCCUCAUCAACAUUGAGGGUGCCCAUCAAAUUAUAUUAUCUGUAUAUGAGUAAUUAUACGCUUUUAUCCUAAUGUUGUCUCUGAGAUUGAAUAUAGCAAUCUCUGCUACUUAAUGCUCAUAGGGAGGUAAAUGCUCUAUAUGCUCCUGUGCUUCUUCCCAGGUCGUUGACAAGGAGAUGGGCGUAAAGGAAAGUAAUUUCUCUAUUGUAUGGUAGUUUUUAAUGGCAUUGUAGAAUUCAGGUCACGUCUCUAUAAAUCGUUUAGAUUGUUAGUUUGGUAGAAUAAUUUAUGCCUGUAUGGUAUGCAAACUGAUCCAUUUCUAUAGUGGAAAUGAAGCGCAAACAAGCUGGACGACUUGCUGCUGUAUAGUAUGCGAUCUGAUCUAUACCAGAAAUCAUAAUUAGUUUGGUGGAAACAUCGAUCAUCAAGCGAUGCAAGCAGUUGAUAACUUGUCUUAAAGCAGGAGAAAUAUCAGAUUCCUGCAAGAAUUAGUAAGAUUGUUCGGUAUGUUCCACUAAAUUAGCUGACUCUGAUUGCAGGUUGAUUGUAUCUAGGUUAUCUUACCAGUGCUUGCUAUUCUGUUUCUGCUUUUGCUAUUCUGCUAUCUUACCAAUGCUUGCUGAUUCCGCAAGACCGUAAAGACCGAAAUUUCAGGUGGUCUUAAAAAUAGUUUUGUAUGAGUGCCUGUGAGGGUGGUUUGUUUUGUACUGCUCAUUUUCUUAUUUCUCUGAGUUCUUUUCUCUUACAAGCUCCCCCUUGCUCUUGCCCUCUCUCCAUUCUGUCAUCUUGCCCUUGACUAUAUCCAAAAACUCGUCCGUACUCAAUAUGGCCAUGCCUCUAAUGGUUCCAUCCUUCAUUACCUAGCUUCAAUAUUAUCUACUCAACAAAGAUGAUGGAGAAGUGCUAUCUGACUAUGCUUGUCGUUGAUGUCUUGUUCUUUGGGGGGCGAUUGUAGCCCUUGUGGCAAAGACAAAGGAGAAUAAGGAGGGCUUGAUGUUAUCCUCUAGGUUUGGGCGGGUGGGGGUUGCAAGAGAAGGGACUGGGGAUGGGUCAAGCACUUGGAGGGAGUACUGAAGCAGUAACAAUUGCUGAAGCUAGAGAGGCAAUGGAUGAAAUUCACUAAUAGGUUGGUGUGAAGGCUAGACCGAGAGGACUAGGGAUCUAGUCACGCUAGGUCAGGAUGAGUAUGUAGAAAAAGAAAGGUUUAACCUUAGGGGGCUGUAGGAGUGAUAGGUCAAGGAUAUGUGGGAGUAGAAGACAACCUAGUUUGCAGAAUUUCUAGGAUAAACUAAGCAUGACCAUAACAAGAUUUCUUAUCACAAUGGAUGCGAAUUGAGAUGUUUUAGAAUUUCCAGGAGAAUAUUUUUUUUAUAUAUAUUUUUACAAUAAUUUUGAAAGCAAGAAAAUAAAUAAAAUAAAUACUAAAAAUAAAUUAACUAUAAGGCUUGAAUCCAAACAAUACCUAGAAAGCUAGAGAUAAUGGAGAACUAGAAAGGCUAAAUCUGGACUAGUAAGAUUUAUCCACCAGAGUUGCAUUGAUCUUCUCUUGAGGCCUUGUGAUAAUGAAGAGUACAGGUUUGACCUUUUAACAUAAUUUUUGUUGCAUCUAAGCCAUGUUUGAUCAUCUCUUGAGGCCCUGUUUCACCUCAUCGAUGAUGUUUGAUCUUGUUUAUCCAUCCAUUACCUUGUCUCCAGCAAGGUUCGAUGAUGGCCCCAGGGAAGGUGGCGGACGACGGUAGAAACCCAAAGAACAAGAAGAAAGAAACUUUCAGGUGUGGCUAUAGGAGAGGGUGGCGGGGGUUGUUAAAUAGAUGGCGGAGGCUAGAUUUUCUGGCUUCCAUCGAAGACUGGAGAGGAGGAAGAGUCCUCCUCCUGCGCCGAUUUCUCUGAAAUUAGGCUUAUGGACCUUAUUUUCGUAUCAGGGUCAGGCCGAAAUUCUAGGCUGGUCAAUUGAAACUAGGCCCAGCUCAGAUUUUAGGUUGGUCUAUGAGCCAGGCCAUAUAGGAAGCUUUAAGAAGCAUUAACAAGAUGCCUCACACCUCACACCUCAAAUCCACUCAAUCCAAUCCAAAAAGAAACUCCAGACUCCACACUUCUAGCUAUCGAGAUGAGUGCAUAGCACAUGCCUCAUGCUGGGGUCUAAUCUGAAUCGGUAGUCAGAAAACUAUAGCUUUUCUCAAACCUUCAAAUGCAACUGCUUGAAAAGAAAAUUUUACUACUGGUGGGUCCCCAGACCAAGUACACUUUUGUCUCCCAUGAGGUAGCAGCUCCAACGAUGAUCCAAUCAAUCUCAAUUGCUUGGCUAGCAAGUCUGGGUUUUCAGUGGAACACUUGGAAAGACUCAAGGGAAUCUUGGUACGGAGUUUAAAGACAAAGGCACAAUUCCAGUGGGUCCAAAAUUAAGAACAAAUUUGUUUCUCACUUGAUGGCAGCAUUGCAGUGCACCAAUCAAGUUCCAUUGCUUCGUGAGCAAGGUGGCUUGGAACUUUAGUGCGGAACUUAGGGAGGACCCGGGGGGGAAUCCUGGUACGGAGUCCACGGAGAUAAAGCACGCCGGGACUGAUCUCACCCUGCUCUCCUAAAAUUUGAUGUGCAUUGCACGAGCGCUCUUGUUGCACGCUCGAAUACAAUUUCGCUGAGGUCAGAUGUAGUUUACGAAGAGACCUUGAGAUUUGUAUAAAAAAAAAAGAGACCUUGAGAUUAUCCCCUCGAGAAAAAAUAAAAAAAGGCUUUGAGAUUAUUGCAUGGCUAUCUAGAUCAGUACUACAUGAUAGGUGGAUAAAUAGGUCUGUUUGAGAUCACACCAAAAUAGAAAUUAUAUUCAAAAAGUGUUCUAUGAAACAAAUAACUGGAUAUGUAUGAUCUCCAACGAUACAUUAUUAUCAAAACUGAAAAUAUAAAAUAUUUAUUGUUUAUAGAGUGUAAAUAUAAUGAUAUUGCCUGUAAAUAUAUUGUUUAUAGAGUGUGCCUAUAUACAUUAUAUCUGAUAAUUGCUUAUAUGUUCUAGUUAACUAAAUCAGUAAAGUUUUGAUCUUACUUUUUGUACAUCUAGAUGAUUAACUUGCCUAUACUUUUUAAAAUGCUAGAAAAAAGUUUUUCUUAGCAGAUGUUCUUUUCUUUUGUAUUUAGAAUUUUUCUUAGCAGAUGAUUAACUUGCCUGUAAACUAAAGUAGCAUUAGAAUUUGUUAUCCACUUCUACAAUGCAUGCAAAAAUCAAUUAGCAGAUGUUCUUUUCUUUUGUAUUUAGAAUUUUCUUUUAACAUAUAAGAUUUGAUGAAAUGAAUCAAGGCUUGCAAGUUAAAGCAAAAAUUUAUCUCUAUGUGGUGCUUUAAUUUAUUGCCAACACCAAAAAAAAAAGAGAAAAAAAUGACCAACAUGUUUAAAGAUGGUCAAACUUGAUAUCAAUAUGCUCAACAGAGUUAGAAUUAUAUAUUAUGCAGCUAUCAAUUUAUUAAAUUGAAACUAAGGAUUCAGAUGCCGCUCUAUGCUGAAUGUGUUAUACUAUGCUAGGUCGGUGCUUGCACGGCACAUUCAUCUGUGCUAUGAUACUUUGUGCAUCGCAACCUAUCGUGAUCUUGUUUUUUUAUUAAUUUAUUUUUAUUGAAGAACUUUAAAGAGCUAGAAUACUGGUUUCUUUUAUAAUUCCACAAAAAUUACUGCCUCAGUGCCCUUUAGUUGUUUUUCUAUGCAUAAUUCCUAUAUAAAAAUCUUUAUGAAAGCUAGCCACUUAAAUUGUAUGGCUAUCAGGAAUCCUUUUGGCACUCAAUGAUUUCUUAGAUUCCUGAUCCGCCUCAAAUAUAUCCAAAAAAGAUAUCAUAUUAAGCUGUCAAGCUUAUGAUACUUCAAAAUAAUCACAUCUCUUAUGAGUUAUGACUGCGUCUUCCAUUUUGUAUGUUGGAAGCAAACUUCUUAUUUUUUGCAAGAUUGAUAGAUUGUCUCCAUAAGAGAUGCCUCAUCAAAGCUGACCUCCUCCUUGCUCUCACUCUGCUUCCUUGCCCGAACCUGCGAACCACCGAUGCCUGCCUCAUCCUCACGGUCUUCACUGCCAUACAUUGGGAGUCAUGGUGCAAGAUUGACUUCUUCAUAGAAGUGGUCUUCCAACCUAGAGAGGUGUAAGAUAACAGGGGAAAUUUCUCUCUUAUUUCUUGGUGUCUGUCUUUUUCUGAUGUUUGAUGGCUUUAUAGCUUGAUUGCGGGACUCUCGAAGAUGCACUGAUAACUCAUUGCCAGCCAAACAAAAACAAGAAUGUUCGGUCUUGGAUACCUAUUUCAAGAAGCAUGAAGAAAAGACUCACGGCUGAAUGUUAGAUAUGGAUUUAGAGUCAAUAGAAAGCAGAGCAUUUGAGAAACUAGUCAUGGACUCGUAAUCUACUAAUACUUGAGCAAUGAUUCCUAGCUCAUUUAGAAUCCCUUGUACCAUAAAACUGAGGAUAAGACUGUGAAUUAUUGUAACAAGAAUUUUGUAUCAUAAAACUCUUUCUAGAUCAAUAAAAUAUACUAGCCUUGAAUGCUUCUUGGCUCAGUCUUCAAGCUAGUUUUCGGGUCUUAUUUUUGUCAAACUAGCUUUAAUGCAUACCAGCUUUCUUUAAAGAGGGAUUUUGCGAAUAAUUUAAUGAUAUGAUUAUCUUUGUUUAAUUUGUUAUCAAGAAAUGUUCUAAUUUGAUUUCUCAAAAAUAUUAAGGACAUAUAUUACCAUAUAAGAAUUUGACAUGUUCAAGAAAGUUUUUGGGUAUUGACGAUAUUUUGAUACGUCACUGUAUGAAACAUUCACCCAACAUGCUGGUCCCAUGUUAGACUUUAUUACGUUGGACAAGCAUAGAUUAGAAUCUACGUUGGCAUGGCACGUUUAUUAUAGUAUAAACAAAACAAAUUACGAAGACUCUUCGUUGACUCCCAACCACUGUGAAUGAAUACUAUGUCGAAACACCACUUCACGAGACAGCCAUCACAACUCUCUCAUUGGUUGGACACCGGAGUCGAAGCCAUUGCUUCGAAGUGAAGCAUAGAAUCAGGAAUCCCCUCACCACCAGUUGCCAUUCACCGCGGCACUAUCGACUUGGCUUGAGCGAUGGAACCGUGUGGGCCCGCCGCUCGCUUCAUUGGGGGCUGCGGUUUUCGGAAACAUAAGCGAGCUUUAAAACCCUCAAGUCAUUGAUCUCUCUCUCCCCCGCUUCCCUCCGCGCCCAAGGCUGAAUCUUUCUUUUCGGGAAGUGGUGGUGGUUAGAAUCGUUAUUUCUUUAGAUAAAGAAGAGAUUUUUAAUUACAGUAGUUCGUUUAGAGAGCAAUCUUUGUUAAAUUCUGAUGGGUUGAUUCUUUCUCUCUCUCUAAUCUGUGCAGCAGCGACGGGAAAGACCUAGGAGCACUGGAAAUCAAGCAAUUCACAGUAAACAUUUUCUUUGUGAUUCUUUUUUUGAAUGAGUUCUGAUUCAUGCUUCAUUUUUCUUUGUUUAUUUGUUUUGGUAAACGCUUGAGAUGAUAUGACGAAGUUAACAUGGAAGGUGUUUGCUUGAAAUUAAGGGCUAUCAGGGAUUCAUGAACUAGCUUGAUAUUUGAUGGCUGCCAUAGUUCUUGUGCUUUUACUUUAUUUGUUUAUUUUUGUUAGAAAAAAGUGGGAUGUCCGAAGAAUUAUGUUUUAUUCUUUAAUCUUUUUUUUUUCUCAGCUUAGAUCAGUGUGGAUAUUUGAAAUGAUGUCUCAUUUUGUAGUCUUAAUAUGCUUCUAUAUCUUCUUUCACGUAGCUUAAAAGAUAUAUUGCUAACGGAUUAAGUAGUCUUGGAAUUCUUGUUUGAAUCUACAUGUGCUUCUAUAGUAAUCAUUAAGUUGGUUAUAGUGAUAAUAUGAUGCUGCGCGUUAUUAUAAAAUUUGUGAAGCUAGGUAAAGGAUUAGGCAAUUGUCACGUAAUGCCUGACCUUAGCCCCUUAGAGUAUCAUGCUUGAUGACUUUUUUUUUAAUUUUUUAAUGUGUUGGUGGCCUUUAGCUUCUUUUGUUUUCCUUGUUAUUUCAACAGAAGUAUUAUAAUCAAGUCUGAAAAUCUUCAAGGGGUUUUAAAUGGAUAUCAGUGAAAAUCAUUGCAGAUUGAUUCUCCUAGAUCACUUAUUUGUGAUUCUUUAGUAUGUCAUAGUUAGAAAAUAAGGGAAGUCUCUAUUUGCGUAAAAUGAUGUCUUGGUUAUAGCUGCUAGAAUGUUUGGAAUAUUUGUUAAGUUAUAUCUAUGGCACAUCUGACAGUUAGCUGAUCUUUCCAUAGUUUUCCGUGUUUUCUCCAUUUUGUUAGUUUCAGAAACUCUUAUUUAGUCUGAGUAACAUUAGCCUAUAUUCAACGAGAAAAAUAUUUCGUAGCUUGAAUAUAGAAAUUUCCUCGAACUUGAAAAUGAACAUUUCUUCUAUAUUCAACUUUUUUUGCCUAACAUCCCUCUUUUAGAUAUAACUUAGAAUUUUCAGCAAUAGUACUCUUUCAUCCACAUUUAAGUACUGAUCAGACAAGUUAUGAUGGAAAUUAAAGCAUAACCAUGUGAGCCUUUUCUUGGAGGUUCAAGUACUUACCGUUGUUGUGAUGCCAACCCUUUUUACCUAGUAAACUAUAUUCCAGCAAUUUAAAUGUUAACAUAAGGUUCUCUUAUGUCUACAGUAGUUCUGAAUUCAAGGGGUAUUGUUGCAUGUCAUACUACUUCAAGAAUGGGAAGCAAGACAAUUAAUAUCCAUGGAUUCCCUACAACUGCAACUGCCCCAAGUGUAAAAGAAUUUCUGGAGGUGCAUACAGGCAAGGGAACCAUAUAUGCACUUAAGUUUAGACUUCCCAAAUAUGUUACAGCAAAAUCAAGAGCAUAUGCAAUAGUUCAGUUUAUAGCGAACAAACAUGCUGAGUCUAUAGCAUGUAAGCGCCUUGUGUGGGUUGAUGGUUUUGUGUUGAAGGUUCGACAUAUGGAACGUGACAUUGUCCCUAAGCCGAGGACCUCUUUAUUUGUUCUUGAAAAUACGACAGUGCAUUUUGGCUCCCCAGUUUCACAAAACAAGUUCUCUGUCCUCUGGUCUCCAAAGGAUGUCAGAGUUAAUUUUGGUUUCAGUAUGAGAAAAAUAUACUUUUUCCUAGUGCAGGGAAGCCAUUCGUAUAAAUUUGAACUUGCUUAUGAGAGCAUAUGGGAAAUACAGCUGCACCACUCAUCUACUAAAUAUUUGCAGUUUCUCUUGAUUCAGGUUUGCUUCUGUGAACCAUUUUUACAUUUUUUAACUCUUUUUACCUUAUUUUACUUAAUAGUGGAGAUGCUUCAGAACUAAGUUAUAAUAGUGCUAAUGCCAUGGAUAAAUACAUAUAUACAUUCUUACAUGGAUGGAUAAUAUGUUUAUAUCAUUAUUGCCUGAGCUCUAACCUUACCAUCUCUGUAUAUUUGUUAGCUGCUUGUAAUUUGUGGCUCUUUCAUCGGUAAAACUGCGAUACAUUUUUGAAGUUUUGUAAUGAUAAAUCAUGAAUGUUUUUCCUAUUUCAGUCUAUAAAGCAAAAUAAGAAUGCCAUCAUGGGAGCUUUUCUUCCCUUUAUUAAUCUUAAGAAUUAGAACUUUCAUUUGCGUAUUAUACAUGCUUCCAUGCAUGUGUUCGUAUCUUUAUGUACUUGUGUGCAUGCAUGUGGAUGGAUUGUUAAUGCAUGCAUAUGUGUGUAUUUACAUAUAUAUGUCAACUAUCUGCUAUCCCCCAAAAGUUUAAGCUGUUAGGGAAGGGGUCGACAAUGUAUAUCUGGCUUUAAUACGUACAUACAACAUAUAAACACAUAUCCAUACAUACAAAUCGGCUUAUGGAUGAAAAUAUGUACAAACACCGCGUAUAUGCAUAUUGGCCAUGUGCAUAAUUAUGUUUUGGAUAGGAGAUGUUUACAAACACCAUUGAUUGCCUAAAUACCAUUUUUUGAUUAAAUUAAGGAAAAGGGAGUGUGCCCAAAAAGGCGACCAUGUAGGCUAAUGCUGACACAUUUGGUGCCUGAUUAAAUUUCAAGGAUACCUUUUUUACCCUUAAGUGCUUGGUAGUCUAGGAAGUGUAUUAAGGUAAUCUAGGUAGUCUAUUGCCCAGUUCCUUUCCUGCCAUAUCCUGGUUUUUGUAAGCUGGACUACUGAAUCAACUGCUAAAUCAAGUUCAACAGCUACACCUAUUGACUCCUACCUUUUUCCCUUCUGUUUUUUCCUCCUUUUUGAUGUGACAGUAAUCAAGGAUUAAGACUUCUCUUCUGCAACCGGAUUAAUGCACAUCUACACCAUGGCGUUGAUCAAUUAGAAUAUAAGUUCCCCAACCGCCAUGAGAAUUGACAUCUACGCCACCACCUCUAACCCGGCAAAAAACCCCUCAAUCUUGCUAUAAGGUCUGCUUUUUCAACUUUUUCCAUUGCUUAGGCAUCCUUAACGCUCUUACUGCCCUCAUUAAUGCCUCCAUUCACAGCCUUCUUACUAUGUUGAUCUAACAACACCUUGUUGUCCACAAUGACCCCAAUAAUGCUAUCAUUGGAGGUGGAGAAUGGGAUAGUUGGAGGUGUCCUGGAAUCCAAAGUAGAAAGGUGGAUGUCAAAGCUUCUGUUGAUAUGCGUCCACUAGGGAUGUAUGAAAAAGGAGCAUGGGUCUAGGUGCUGAUUUUGAUUGGUUGCAGGGGGCUGGGCAGUGUUGGCUAUGGGAGGUAAGUUGUAUAGGGUUGAGAUGGAUAAGCUGGGGCAUGGGGAGAGUGGGUGGCCCAAAGUGGGGGAGAGAGGAGGAUGGAGGAAUGAGGAAUGGAGGGCCUGAGCUUAGGAGACAUGGGAAAAAAAAGGGGCGACAUUUUGGAUCUUAGUAUUAGUUUUGUGAUAUUCCUCUAGCAUCCAGGGGUAAAGCCAUGGUAUGUUGUAUUGGCCUGAACCGGGUGGUACGGGGCAUACCGUACUGAUUCGGUAUCGGUACGCAUUACGGGUGGCGUACCAAUACUUGGUACACCAAAAAAAUUCUGCACUGUACCAUACCGAUAUGGUACCAGUGUGGCACCGAUAUCGGGUUCGAUAUCGAGACGGCGAACCUUGGGCAAAACAUUAUUAAACUUGGCCUAUGGAUUGUGUUUCAGCAUUUUGUGUAGCUAAAAGAUGUCCAGUAAUUGCUUCCAAAUCUCUCAAAAUUAGCCCUUGCUUCAUAGCAUAUAUGAGCAUGCCUGCAUGCGCUAAACCUUUUAGCAAAGGUGCCUUACCUGUUUCUUAUCUCCCUCUCCCUCUCACACACACAUACACUUCCUAAGUGCUUUGUAACUUUAUUUCUUUUGUGGUUCAUGUUCUUCUUUAUCUGCUCCUUUAUUUUUUUCUUCAAUUAUCUUUUCUUUUAGUUAGCAAUUGUACAGCUGUUCUAGUUAUACUGGUGUUUAUUUCUCUAAUUAGUACUCAGAAUAUAAUGUGGUUGGCUAUGAAUCCUUCUUUGUCUUUCUUAUAUUAUCCAUGUUUGUUUUCAUGGAAACCAAUGAUCUAAUCAGAAAUCCAGCAUCAGAAAUAGUAGGCCUCUGAUGCAGAUAUUUUGCCUUUUAGCCUUGUAGAGUACUUUAUGCCCCAAGCGUGAUGCCUCUUUUGUCUUUCUUUUUCUAUCUAAUUGUUAAUGUGGUUACUGAACUACAGGUGGUAGCUGCUCCCAAGGUUUAUGAACUGUCCCUUCGUAAUUCAGGUCUUCUGCAUGAAGAUCCAGAAUACAAUUACUUUAAAGACCUUCCAGAUGAUCAGUGGGUCAGGACGACAGAUUUCUCCCCAUUAUGUAGCAUUGGACAAUCUUCUGCUUUGUGUUUGCAGCUGUCGUAUGACUGUGAUCUUCCAAAUAUACGUGACUACUUUCCCUUUUAUAAGGAAUUUGAAGGUCGUUUUGACUUGGAGAGAGGCUCUUCCUACUCUCGCAGCUUGGAUCUAGUCCCCAUUGUGGAACCUCGCCCAAGGAUUGAGGUUCCAUAUAAAAUUCUCUUCAAGAUUAAUCAUAUGGUUCAGAAUGGGACACUCUUUGGGCCCACCCUUGAUGGAAAAUUUUUUGGGCUGGUCAGUCCUCAGUUUAUCCGUAUCGAUUAUAUAGAAUGCGCCAUAGAAGAGAUGUAUCAUUCAAAAAGCUCCUUCUUUGAUCCAGCAAAUUGGCUCACUAAAAAGUACUUGAAACUUAAAAGAUCCCUCCGCCUUCCAAAAUCACCUAGCAUAUCUUUGGAUGCUGGCUUGGUUUAUGUUUACAGGGUGCAAGUGACCCCUUCCAAAGUAUACUUUUAUGGACCCGAGGUUAAUGUGUCCAAUCGUGUGGUGCGCCAUUUUUCUGAAGAUAUAGAAAAUUUCGUUCGAGUUUCUUUUGUUGACGAGGAUUGGGAAAAGAUGCAUUCAACAGAUUUGUCAUCCCGAUCUGGUUCUGCAGGAAAUGAAAUGCAUACUGCCCUUUACAGGAGAAUACUGUCAGUACUGAGAAAUGGCAUAACUAUUGGUGAUAAGAAGUUUGAAUUUCUUGCUUUCUCAUCUAGUCAGUUACGGGAAAAUUCUGCAUGGAUGUUUGCUUCGAAUGAAAGAUUAACUGCAGCUGCUAUCAGAAAGUGGAUGGGCGAUUUCCAUGAGAUAAGAAAUGUGGCUAAAUAUGCUGCUAGGCUUGGUCAGUCUUUUAGUUCUUCUACUGAAACUUUAACUGUUGACAAGCAUGACGUUGAUGAUAUUCCUGAUGUAAGAUAUGGAAAAUAUGUUUUCUCUGAUGGUAUUGGGAAAAUAUCUGCUGAAUUUGCAAAGAGAGUGGCCAUAAAGUGUGGCUUAAAAAGUUCAACUCCAUCAGCCUUCCAAAUUAGAUAUGGUGGUUAUAAAGGUGUUGUUGCUGUUGAUCCAACCUCAUCGAAGAAGCUAUCCUUGCGAGAAAGCAUGCGCAAAUAUAAAUCAGAUAACACGAAACUGGAUGUCCUUGCAUACAGCAAGCAUCAGCCAUGUUUCCUCAACCGUCAGUUGAUCACUCUUCUUUCAACAUUGGGAGUUAGGGAUUGGAUUUUUGAAAUGAAGCAAGAAGAAGCUGUAAAUCAAUUGGAUAAGAUUUUAACUGAUCCAGUAAGGGCACAGGAAGCAAUCGAGCUUAUGCCCUCAGGAGAAACAACCAGUGUUCUUAAAGAAUUGCUAUUGUGUGGUUAUAAGCCUGACUCUGAACCUUUCCUUUCAAUGGUGCUCCAAACGUUUAGGGCAUCAAGGUUGUUGGAACUGAAAACGAAGUCAAGAAUAUUUAUUCCAAAAGGAAGAGCAAUGAUGGGGUGCUUGGAUGAAACUAAAAUCUUGGAAUAUGGGGAGGUAUUUGUUCAAGUUUCUUGUACUGGAAGAAUGCAGUUCCACAAUAAUGGUCUCUUUGUGUAUGGUGGAAGUGAAUCAGACCAUCAUACUGCUGUGCUGAAGGGGAAAGUCGUCGUUGCUAAAAACCCCUGCCUCCACCCUGGUGACAUCCGUGUUUUAUCUGCUGUUGAUGUUCCAGAUCUGCACCAUAUGGUUGACUGUGUUGUUUUUCCACAGAAGGGGAAAAGGUACACUAUGCUUAGAAUUUGCAUUUGGAGUUUGCUUUCAAUCUAUUAGCUAGUCUAAUCCAGAAAACCCUCUUCUAUAUCUAAUUUGCUUCAAACUUUUCCUCUGCUGGUUUGUGCUAAAGUUUUCUACCUUGAACUGCACAUGAGUGUAUGAUAGUAUCAAUAAUACGUACAGAUUUGUUGUGAUGAGAUUACAUAUCUUUACUAGUUUUUUAUUCUAAAUCUUCUUUUUAUGCACCAAAAAUGAUCCUUUCACAAUUUCCUAAUCGAUGUAUUGAGGAAAGAAAGCAUUACAACUAUAUUGCACUCAAAGAAACCAACCAUACUUGAUGGUAAGUUAUACUGUCGGUGAUAAUGAUAGCAUAAAAAAAAAGGGGAAUCAUUCACGUAUAUUAUGUGUGUAAUAAUAAAUGUUUUUGCUAGUUGGAACUUGUGGCAACCAGGAUGAAAAUGCUGCAAGAUUUUAUUCACGGAAGAUAUUUAUUCAAAUUCUUGCACUACCCAUCGACAAACUUACAGUUAGAAUUCAAAGAGAUGUAUAGUGGGUUAUGUUACUAGAAUAUGAAGUAGCGCUGGUUGAUGAAAGGAGGAUAAAAUAAAAUGUUAAAUGCAAUGGAGGAAUGCUUGGAGAUUAGAAACCAAAAAUAUUAACAAAAAACGCCUCAAUUAUAAUGGAAAUGAAAAGUCAAAAAUAAGAACCUGGUCAAAAUUGCUGGCAGUUAAAUUUCCUCGAAAUUAAUGGUAGGUAGAUAACAAUUUUAGACUUGCUUUGUUGUCUUGAAGCUGUCAUGCAAAAGAGAGAGAUGAAGACAUAUCUAGUGAAACUAACAAAUUGGAGAGGCUCAAUGAAAUUGAAGUGGAGCCGGAAGCAAAUGGCUUUAUAAUAGCAUGGUCUCACUCACCUGUGUGCAACAGGUAGGGUGGACAAAAUGACCUUGAAGACAUUAGUAAUACUAGACUCUAGCUGGAGAAGAUAUUGCCACUUCGCUAGAAGAGUGCCAUACCAAACAAAAGCAUAAUGGCACAGAAAAUCAGUGGAACAAGCAUAUAGUGAGGGUGCACCAAUUAGGAAAUAUGAACAUUUGUAGUUCUAGGAACCUGAGUUCCAAGUAGUCUUAGAAUUGGCAUAGACUUCAAAGUAUACGGUUUGAUACAUGACAAAGUUGUGUCAGAGUUAAACUAUGGAUAGCUUGUUUCAAAGUGAUUUAAAGGGAUGACGAUAUGAUUCUAUUUGCCCAAUCUUUAAGUCUUUUUGUGAGUUUUCUCUGGUGUAAUGUCAGGUUAUUUAUUUAUGUAAUGCUGGUGAAUCCUUUUCUAGUGCGAAGUAUGAUUUUUCAGGGGUUGGUGUGGUGGCCUCCUCCAAUGUGUGAAUCUCUCUAUCUUUCAGUAAGUCUUGAUUUCUAUCAUGAAGUGCUUGAAACAAUUAGUGCUUUAUCUAGUUACAGGAAAUUUGACGAACUAGUGUUGGAUAAUUACAAUACGGAAGUAAAUAUAUUAGUAAGGAACAUAGCCUCAUAAAUACAUAUAUUCUUGCAUGUGUAUGGAGACAUGUAUAUACAUAAAUAGAUACAUAAAAACUCGCAAACAAAAGCAAUUUGGCAAUACUCCUUGCACAUGUCCUUAUAAUACUCGACAUCCUGGUUUUCAGAAAUCCAUUGAUAUAAUUGCAUAUAAUUUAUACAAUAUAAUCAUGUACAAUUUACAGCUCUAAAAUGUGCAUUUGCUGUGUAUUUUGUACCACAUUGACAUUUCUGAGAAGUGGACUUGAAGCAGUUAAGAACAUGAGGAUCCUUGAAUGUUGCUUUUGAUUAAUUACUAGCGUAUUGGUUAUGAUUUAAUCAUAUUUCUUCUAAUAGGCUCAUGCUGAUCUUGUUUCAUGGUUUGAAUAAUUAUCUGUAUUUAUAUGUAUGUGUAAAGUUAUAACCCAUUUGGGGUGACCCAUGUGUAAUAUCAUUGUUAUCAGCUGCUCCCUACUAUAGUCUGGAUAAUAAACUAUUUGUGUAUUAUUUUCUUCUUUCUUCAUUUAUUUGUAAUUCGUAUUCAUUUAUUUGAUCCAAAUAUUUCAGAGCAUGCAGCCAGUCACAUUAUAGAGUUCUAGCCUCAUCCUUAUUAUUAAGUCUUCUACGUUGAAAUCUUUAGUUUCAUAUAAUUAAUAGUUUCCUGUUGAUAAUAUGAACCUUGCAGGUUUUGAUUUAUUAUUAAACAACUAGUGCCAAAGGACGGUCUCGAAGAUACAUAAGGGGAUCUUUACAUGACUUUGAUCUUAAAGCUACUUUCAUCAACAGUGCAUUAUCACUAAAAGUAUAGGUUACUUAGAUUUUCAUAUUAGAUGAUGUUGACAAAAUUUAUCUUCCCAGAUUGAGGGUUUUCAUUUAUUGAUUAUUUAGAUAUUCUGUUAUGCAUGUACAUGCUUCCAUUUUCUUCUUUUGCAACUCUUGCUAAUUUAAUAUCUCAUAGAACUUACAGAUUUGUGACCUGGGUGUCACCGGUUAGAAGUUAGAAGCACGGAAUCAGCCUCGCCUCUCAUGGGGGGAAGAUUGUGUACCCUAGACCCCACAAUGGUGGGAGCUUCAUGCAUGGGGCUGCCCUCUUAUAGAACUUUCAGAUUUCACAGUUGAUAGUUUAUAUGCACAAUAUAUACUUAAUGCAUGCUAUUUGGAUCCUUCUGAUUAACUGGCACAUGCAAAAGGUUUUUCUGAGUACAAAUAAUCAUAGCAUUUCUUGAUUUUGUUUGCUGUUAUUUUCAGGCCCCACCCAAAUGAGUGUUCAGGGAGUGACUUGGAUGGGGAUAUAUACUUUGUGAGUUGGGAUGCUGAUCUCAUUCCUCCUCGUGAAGUCACACCUAUGGAUUACACUUCAGCACCAAGUGAGAUCUUAGAUCAUGAUGUGACAAUUGAGGUAAUACUUUCUAGUCGUAAACAUUCUUGCAAAUAUUCAACUUUCUUUGUACCAAAAAAGUAUUGCAACUUUCUAAUAGUUCUCCAUUUUAUCAUUUGAUCUUUUGUUUUCUUAGUGUCUCUUGAAUUAUAUCUAAAACUGUUUAUGCAGGGGAAUAAAAAGAGCAUGUAUUCAAUAUAUAUGGAAAUAGCUGAACUACCAAAUAACUAAUCCAAGAUUGUGGUUUUUCCCAGCUUAAUUGUAUGGAAUACUUCUAAUAUUUGUUUCCCUUCCUUGGGAAUACUUCUAAUACUUUCCUGCUCACCUCUUUCCUUUCAAUGUAGUGGAGUCCUUAUUCUAGGUAGCUUCUUGUAUAAACCAUCAAAUGCUGUUAAUUGCAGUACCGCCUGAUUUUUGGACUUCUAAUGUAGAUUAACAUACUUAGGCACUCUUCAACAAAGAGGAAAAAAGGAAAGAUCGACUGAUGUUGCCUGCAUGCACUAAGUACCCCAUGAAGCAGUUCCAUAUUCCAUCUUGCUUGGAAGCUUACAAGAAAAAAAAGAUAAUCUCAGAUUAAUCCAAGGGACUUUCCCUUUUGCCUUUAUUUCUUGUCAUCAAAUGAAUAGUGUUGGCAGAUAUAUGCAUUUACUUUAUAUAUUAAAACGGUGAACCUAAAUGGUACAUAUUAUUUCUGUUGCAUCAGCUAUUUGAUUAUUCACCAAUCUUCUGACUAUAUGUCUUUCUUAUCUCGUGAUGAUAAAGCACUUCUUGCCUCUUUAACAUUUAUUUUCAAGAUGUAAACAAGGUGAAAUUCCAUAUCAUGUUAAUAUGAAAUGCUUUAUGUCAGUUAAAGUUAAAUUAGUCAACAUCCGGGGCAAUUUACCUGCCUUUUCUAGUCUUUGUUUUUUCUUUAUUUUUUGAGAACAAUGGUGGGAGGCUGGGAGCACUACCAGUCCAGAACUACCAUGUUGAUCACUUGGGAAAAUACCUCAACACCAGAAAAUGGAAUCUUCUCCCAGUGGAAGAGGGAUUCAGCAUCUACAGUAUUGCUUUUUCUUGUUCUCCAACGGUCAUCUUUCUGGACAUAUAUGUAGCAUCAAUAUGGAGACAUCUCCAGUAUUUUUGCUGGCCAUGCAUAAUUAGGGAGAAAAAACAGUUGAUUCCUAUGCAAAUAUUUUGAAACUUGUUAUCAUAGAAUACAUUAUUGCUAAUAAUGUGUAUGCUGAUGUGAUAUAGGAAGUGAUGGAGUACUUCACCGAUUAUAUAGUCAAUGACAGCCUCGGAAUUAUCGCAAACGCCCACACAGUCUUUGCGGAUAAGGAGCCACGCAAAGCUGAGAGUGAGUCCUGCAUAGAGCUUGCAAGACUCUUUUCUAUUGCUGUUGACUUCCCAAAGACAGGAGUGCCUGCUGAAAUCCCUACUCAUUUACAUGUCAAAGAGUAUCCUGACUUCAUGGAAAAACUUGACAAAGUUACCUAUGAGUCGAAGGGAGUAAUAGGAAAGCUCUUCAGAGCAAUCAAAGACCACACAUCCCAUUUGGGCCAGAUAAAGGCAUUUACAAAGGAGAUGGCUAUGAAAUCGUAUGACCCUGACAUGGAAGUUGAUGGCUUCAAGGAGUACCUUGAUGAAGCUUUUUGGUUCAAGGGGGAAUAUGAUUUUAAGUUGGGGAACCUGUUGGAACAUUAUGGAAUAAAAACUGAGGCUGAGAUCCUUAGUGGGAGUAUAAUGAAGAUGUCAAAGACCUUCACUAAGUACAAGGAUGGUGAGGCAAUUGGAUUGGCACUUAGGUCAUUGAGGAAAGAAGCUAGAGCAUGGUUCGAUGAGAAGCGCAUCGAUUGUGAGGAUGAAGAUGAUGUCUACGCUAAGGCAUCUGCUUGGUAUCAUGUGACGUACCACCCAGACUACUGGGGUUGCUAUAAUGAAGGCUUGAACAGGCCUCAUUUCCUGAGCUUUCCAUGGUGUGUCUAUGACAAGUUGACACUUAUCAAGAAAAAGAAGAUAAGCAUGCGGAAGUAUGAAACUGAGUUAUUCUCACUACAUCAUCAAGUCAAGAGGAGCCUGCGAAUGAGCUGAGAAAUCAUGAACGUGAUUUCGUGGUUUCGGCUGGAAAGAAAGCUUUCUGCAUAGAGCGCUGUUGCACUGAAUAACAACUGAAUGUUAGCUGUUUCAUUUUUGUGAUAUUUGACAUGCUUUGUGGUGGUCUAUUUCAAUCUAUUACAAAUAUGUAUAUAUUAGUUGCACCAUAUAUAUGAAUUGGCUUUUGCUCCCAAAAAUAUAUUUGUGAAUUUUCUUCUUCAGCAAAUAUGGCUGUUGGUUAAGACCAUUCAUCUUUACUCUUUCCUGGAGAAAUGAAUGGACGCUUUUCUUAUUUGCAGCUUCCUUUUCUAUUCUUACAACACUUUGUAUGAAAGAAUUUCUUUGCUUUUAACAUCCCCUUUUCUGCAUUGAAGGAAUCACAGCGAACAGGACAUCUGUUGGUUUCAGCAUAUGCUUACCUGAAAGUUUAAGAAUUACUCAGCUUGGGGAAAAAACGUUCGAAAUUCAGAGAGUGCAGAAAAUUUUCCAAAAGAUCAUCAAGAAUCUGGGGAAUAAAUAAGUACAUAAACAAAGGUAUGUCAUGUUUUUGAUAGAUCAAUUAUUGGUUCAUUCAAAUUUUAACAGGCUAGAAUACUGGUGCAGCAAUGACAAUGCGCAUGUCAGCGAUAUAUAACGUUAUAAUCUGUAAUCCAUAAUCUUCUUGAUAAAUCAUGAAUAAUCACCGGUAGUGAAUCUCUUUUCCAUGGAUAACUAGGCAUUGCAACUAUCGAUAAUGAUCCAUAGUCUAUAAUCUUGUUCAUGAAUCAUGAAUUAUUCACCCAUAGUGGACCUAUUGGACUGAGUAGCUUGGUUGCUCGGGAAUAUUUCAAGGACAACUUCUGCAAUUAUUGUGGUACUUGGAACAUUUUGUUAUUAUGCCCUCUUCAAGAUUGGAUGGCAUCUUCCUAAUGGAUGAACUUCAUGAUAUGGUUGUUAUUUUGCUAAUUCUUUGUGGUAGCAGGCAGGCAGUUCUCACGCACUUGAAAGCCUUAUUACUUUGGAGACAGGGCUCCCAGACGAAGGAGAAAAGGCACAGUUACCCUCCCUCAGAAGCACACCACGAUCAUCAGCUCUUACCAAUCAGCAGGUUUGUUCUCCUCCUUGAAGAUAUGAAAAACAGAGAUUUAUGAGGAGGAAAGCAAGUUAAAGCAUGUCCCUCGUAUAGUUGAGCACUCUGAGAGUUGAGUUUAUAGUGUAUGUAUUGACAAAAGGGACAGUUGAAUUUCUAUAUGUGACCUGUAUUUACCAUGGAAAAUACUUCCCUACAUCCAAGACUACUGGUGAGAACAAUUUCUUCUUCCUUUUUCUCUUGAAAAUGAGAGAGGCUGACCUGAUGGAAAUUGAUGGAGAUACUUCAGAUGCAGCAAUAUUGAUUACUUACACCCAAGAAUAACCAUUUACAGUGUCACACCAUAGACCUGCCACCUGAAUUGAUGCGUGACAUGACCACAUAUUUCAUAGAGUAUAAUUCUAGAAAACAUGCGAGGCCUACUGGAUGAAUAAAAAUUAUUAUAAAUAACUCACUAUUUCUAGAAUACAAUAAUUAGCUCCAAUAUAGUUAAAUAAUGAGAACAACACCAAUACAAUUUUUGAACAUCUAGUAGUACGAGAAAUAUUUAUUUCCUUCCAACUCUCUCUAGUGAACCCCAAUUUCAGUCGAGUGCUAAAUGUCCCGUGGAUCUAAAAAGAGAGUUAAAAUACUUGCAUGAGCUAAAUAGCUUAGUAAGAGUGUUCACUGCAUACAAAUAUAAUGUAACACCCAGCCUAGGUAAUAAGAAAUUGGAUCAAGUCCACUUGACUAGCCCAUAUAUAAAAGUUGGAGUAGAAGAUGGAAAAAAAAAUGAUAUAGCCUUAUUCGAUGUAGAAUAGGAGAUGAAAAAAGGAUAGAAGCAUGUUUGACUUGGAGUAGGAGACGGACUCUUCCUCCAUCCCGAUUUUUUAUGAGAGCUAGAAAGCCUAACCUUCAGUGGCUAUUUAAAGAUCCCCAAACUCCCUUUUAUUUCCCUACUGACAGGUUUUGUUGGUCGCCACCGUUUAACCACCACGGGUUUCUUUCUCUUUCUCCUAUAGGCAUCCAAUGGUCUUGGUUUAUAGUGCUCACCGGAGAUUUCAAUCGAGAGCUCGUCGGAGUUUUAGGUUCUCAAAACGAACUCUCUCCUUCUCCUCUUCUCUCUUCCCUUUUCUCUCUCCUCUUCUCUCUUUCACUCUUUUUCACCAUUCUUCCUUUAUCUAGAAAUCCUACGGACCUAUGGAAGUCUAGACGUCUUGAUGGGCCUAUAUAACCUUUGACUUUAGGAGGCAUACCUGGUCUUCUAGAUCUGCGUUAUGUGGCCCUAGGAGGGUUCUAGGUUGGUGUUAUGCAAAUUUAGAAGAAGAUUUGGGCUAACCUUAUUAUGAUCAUCUACCAUAAUCUAUGGACGGUUAUGAUUAUUCUAAUGAUGAGAUCUGACCCUGUAGGUGAGCAAUCAUCGAGGCAAGAAGGUGUUGAGAAAAAUACUUUAGCCCCGAGUUCGUAGGUUAAGGAGUGGAUCGGUAUUCGCUGUACUUAAGUCUAAGAAUUUCAAGACAUUAAUCACCUAUAUAUAAACUAUUUUGUGCAUUUGUGAUUUUUCUUUGUAUGGUAUGGUAUAUGAUGGUUGUGUAUUAUAUCUUUAUCUGUUAAGUAUAUGUCGAUUUUUAUAGACUUAUGUAUCAUAUAUUUUGGACUUCGAUGCAUGUGUACAUCAAAUUUUGUUAAAGUGUAUGAUCUGGAGUUAUAUUUACAUAAUGAGCAUGUAAUUGAAUUGUGAGUUGUUAUAUUCUAGACGAGCAACAUUGUUGAUGCCCGCCCUAGACCGAAAUAUGGUACUGUUGAUGUCCCGCCACGGGCUAGAAACGUAGUUGUGGUAGUCCAAAGCUGAGAACCUAUAUACCAUUAGAUUCAAUAGAUGCUAAUUUGAGAUAUUUAUUUGAUGCGAUUUAUUGUACUAAAAGAUGUGUGUUUGCUAUGCACGUUUUAUGGUUAUGGUAUUUUGUGGCAAGAAAUUUAUAUAAGUAAUAAUUAUUUGAUAAUCUCUUAUUGAUUGUUAUUAUUAUAAAGGUGUGGGUGUGUGGAAAUUCUUACUAGGCUAUAAAGCUCACACUACUUCUUUUCUUUUUCUUCUAAAAUUGCAGAAUGCUUAAUCUUGGAUGGGUCAGGCAUGGAGUUUAAGUGAUGGCAGUCUUUAGUUAGUUUAUUUUUUGCUGCCUAACAAACAGUCGAAUAUCUUUUAAUUGAACCAGAUCGAUUAUUUGAAUAUGGUGGAUUUAGUUAGUUGGAUUAUUUGGCUAUUAGCUAUAGAGCUAUUGGAUAUUUAUUUAUCUUAUGCCUUGUAUGAUCUCUAAGGCAUCGCUCUACGAUUCAUAUGGCCGUGUCACGUAGCCGACCCAAGUGAUGUGUUCGGGGUGUGACAUACUAGCAAUUGAAUGAUACAUAACGAUGAGCAUACUAUUAAAAUAAUAUUGAGGAAAACAUAGUAGUCAUGAUAUGUAUAUUCCAAAAUUAAUUAGUAUUCAAAAUUUGGAUCUACCAACCACUAGACGUAAUAUAUUAAUUAUAUGCCAUUAAUAGCAAUUUAUUAGUAUUUUUACUAGCAUCCAAGUAGCAAGGCAUGUGCUAGUGGUUUUUUUAGAAUUGCACAAUUAAAAUUUCUAAUUACCUCAUGGUUCGCACUAGCUAUGGCCAUGCUCCAGCUCUGGCAAAUUAUAGUGCUACAUUCCUUCCCAUUGCGAGGCCAUCAAUGCUAUUACGUUUCUAUAUAUAGCGAGGUAAUCUAUAGUAUCACAUUUCUGCACAUUUUUAUGUAGAUUUUUUUUUUUCAAAAUAUGCAACAGACUAAUUGGGUCGGAACUUAGGUCAGUCAUGAAUAGAGCCAACCCAUUUGCGACCCUAAUAUUGGCUUUAGGCUGUUUAUGUAGAUUAAUCCAAUUCCUUGCCAUCUCUUCCUAUUCUUCUCCAUCGAUGGGCAAUUUCAUCCGCUAACUCCGGCAGACCGGCGGACUCAUGAUACCGGCCUUUUGUCUCUAGUAUCUGUCUUCCCUGAGACCUGGUUCGAAUCCUAGCAGCCACAAAUUUCUCCUUGCUUGAACAGCACAAACGUAUCCUUUAUCCACCCAGUCUUCUCUCUCCAGCCUCUAGAAAUUCCAUGUUUCCACCCACAAACUUGGAGCAUCGACCAACGACCUCCAGGUGCUCCCCCCUCUUGCACCGUGCUCUCUCAGCGAAGAAACUGAUUUCCCUCCUCGUCCUUUGAGUAUCUUAUUCUUUACAGAGUGUGAUGAGGACACCAAUGCAUCAUGGACAUCAAAGGACAGGAGGAUGCUCUUAAGAUUUCUUUAGAUCUUUAUGCGAACAUCUUAGCUGGGUUGUUUUCCAUGUUUCACAUAUUUCUUCCUGAAAUCUGUGUUUGCCGUAGUUUUUCGAAUUCUGGAUUUUCUAGGAAACACUGGUUUUGAAUUUUUGAUAGAUAAAUCUGUUUUUUCUUUAGAAGACUGUCUGGUUAAAUUCCUCUUUUAUUAGAAUUGUUGCUCUCUAUUAUUGGGUUGAUGCAAAAAAAAAAAAUAGCAGCACAGUAGGCAUGACUUUCUUUCCUUUCUUAUUUCAGAAGUAGAAAAUAAAAAUUUUAUAUUUAUUUUCCAAAAGUAUAAACAUGUUUGGUGCAGCCAACUUUUUUUUUUUAAAAACAAACAAGUUGAUGGUGAUGGAGAUGGUGGGGACAAUGAUACAGUAGUAUAGUAGUGGUAGCGAUGAUGGUGGUGGCGAUGAUGAUGAUGAUAGUGGUGACAACAAUAGUAGUAGUUAUAAGGACACUAAUGAUAGUGAUGGCGGUACGAUGGAAGUAGCGAUGACAGAAAUAAUGGCAGCUAUGUUGGUGGUUGAGAUACUGGCUAUGUGCUUGAGAUAAUAACAAUAGUGGUAAUAGUAGUGGUGAGAGUGGUAGUGAUGGCGCUAGUGACCGUAAUGGAGGCAGAGUUAGUGGCAACGGUAAAUGCAAGAGCUUUUUAUUUUUAAAAUUAAUAAAAAUAAUACAAACUUCUUACUUUUAUUUUUCUAAAAAUAAUGAAAGUAAUUUUUAAAAAUAAAAAAUAAUAGCAGUAAUGAUAACAACAACAAUGAUAACGGCGGAGGUUAUGACGAUAAUGGAGGUAGAGUUAGCAGCAAUGGUAAAUGCAUGAGUUUCUUAUUUUUAAAACUACUAAAAAUAAUAAAAACUUCUUACUUUUAUUUUUUAAAAAUAAUAAAAGUAAUUUUUAAAAAUAAAAAAAUAAUAGCACCAAGCAAAUACUUUUCUUCCCGUAUUUAUAAUUUUGUUUAUAAAAAUAAAAAAUAAAAGUCAUGUCAAACAUUAUUAUUUUAUACGUUGAAAGUUGUUUCCGCAUUAGUGGAAGUUGAUUAUAAAUUCAUGAUACUGUAAGGACUUUUAUUCACAAGUCCUGUCAUUUAAUAGUUAAAAUAUAUAUUAUUCAAUAAUUUUAUAUAUUAUUAUUCUAUUUGGUCGUCAAAUUUUUUUAAUUUUAUUAUAUAAGUAUUACUAAAUUAUUUAACUAUAUAUAUAGAUUAUAAUUAUUAAUUAAUAUAUUUAUUAUAUCAUGAUGCUGAUGUGGCCUAAUUUUAAUUCGACUAUUAUGAGCCGACAUGUGGUUUAGUAGGAUGCCAAUUUCAGCAAAAUUUUUAUUCUCAAACUGAUCAUCAGAUCAUGGCUUCUGGGCAUCAGAUACCAUGUUGUAAUUUAGGUUCACCUGUUAGUUUAAUUGCUGAUCCAUUACCUUUUCCAAUUUGAUAGACAACAUUGCAUUUAAAAUAUUGCUUAACAAAAACAUUUUAACCUUGCACGGGCCCAAACCAGAUCCAGCUGCAACCCCAAAUGAGAGGUUGUGCCGGUGCGAUUGGUUGCUCGAAGUAGCCGACGGUCACAAGUUCUCUUUUUCUUUUUUUUGGUGAUGGAAGCCAAUGGUUCACACCAAACAUAUUACACAACAGCAAAGUUCAAAGAUCCCCAGAUGGCCGAGAUAGAUUCGGCCAGCAUUGAAGGCUUCACAUUGUUGGCGUUCCGAGUUUUAUUAGAUCUUCUCCUUUUCUAUCCAACCCAGUUCACCUAACGUGCACGAUGGCCGUGUUAACCCCACUAGGCGAAUCAAGUAUCAGACUCCGCACACCACACAGGAAAUCAAUCCAUUCAUCUCUCGCCAGAACCAUAUUGGGUGGGCCCCCUCAUGUACUGCUAGAUGAAUACUCGCGUCAUCUCCGCGUGAAGUCUUGUAUCGCUCUCGAGGACCAUUACAUUUGCAUACAAAUUUCUCGUCGUUGUUUAACUUGGGGACAUGUGAACGGUUCUGAUCAAUCUACGCGGUAGUACGAAUGGUGGAUACGUUAUAUGCAGAGAAAUUAUUAUGCGUUUCUACGUAUAGUAUAUAUAUUUCUUCACGGGUGACCGCCGCACUCCUCUCCCUAUUCCUCUCUCCCUCCCGUCGUUUCCGGUGUUUUUUCCACCGACUUUCAUCUCCUUGGAGGGCGGUGCCGUUUUCCUCGACCGCCGGCGCUUCUCCCGACGCCGGCGGCGGCCGCCGUUUGUCGUCCUUCGUCGUUCUCCGGUGACCCUCAGCUGGUGAGCUGAUCUGAUUAGAGCUCUGAUUUAGGCUCUGGUUAGAAUUUAAAAGAUGUGAUCUUGCUGUCAUUGGACUCCCUUUUCCCCUAUUCUUGGAUGAUUUCUUUAUCGUUGAGGUUUAUGUUGUUGGGUUUUUCCUUAAUCUUAAUUCUGAGCAGGUGUGGUUUAGGUGCAGUAGUAGUGAUCUAGGAUGAAAGGGUUGUGGCUUUUGGUUGUUUCUGGUUCUAGGGUGAUUCAGUUGGAUUCUUUUUUAAUAGAAAAGCUAGGUUAGGUUGAAAUUAUGGUUUGAAAUGCAGGCUUUGUGCGUUCUUUUCUGCCCCUAUUUAGGGAUUUGGAGAAUUUAACUGUUACUAUUUUUGUCUGAAAUAAAGUUAGGUUUGUUAUUGUUGCUAUUAAUGAAUAUAGCUUUGGAUGUUUACUUAAAGGGGUGUUGUUGAAACUGCUGGGUUAAUAUUUGCGAAGGAUUUGAUUUAGGGGUCUGCUGAUGGAGUGCUAAGGUAAAAUACUAUUUGCGAAAUUCUGCCUCGUGUGUAUAGAAAUUUAUGUUAUGUAUUCGAAUCUGCUUGCCUUGUUUUCUUUUUCAAUUUCUUUGUUGGGUUGCUAUUUGAUGGAGAGAGAUUGGUGUAUUAGCGGUGAUGAUGCUAGAUCAUGAGACAUUGGUAUGAUUUGCAUUGGCGGCAGUGCUUGAUCUAUUUAUUGACUGUUGCCUUCCUUUCGAAUGGUCCUCAGGCUUUCUUUCUCCAUUACUAGUUCUCCUAUUCAUUAUUUUUUGGGUCCAUCUUAUUCUGAACCAUAAUUUCAGCUCGAAUAUACCAUAUUUUCCUUGUUUUAAGUUUAUACUUUUUUGGUUUUGCAUUGCUUCAAUAAGAGAUUUAUAUAAGUUCAUCUGAUUUCAAGUUGUGUUUAGUUUACAUUGUGGAUCUUCGUUCAAUCCUCUUCUCUCCCUCCUCUUUUCCUCCCGCACCCUCCCUUUUAUUUGGGGUUAUUACAUUUAUUCCUUUCCACUAUAUGAUAUAUAAAUUUCUCCAUGUUGUGGCUUUUGGAGCAUUUUCUUUCUUCCUUUGGCCCUCUUAGUGAUCUACAUACACUUUGCUUGAUCAUCUAUCAAUAUGCUUCUAAAUCAUUUAGGCUUACUCCAUCAUGAAAUUUUAAAAUUCUGGAACACUUCCUGCUUUUUGCCAUCUUCACCCAUGAAGCAACUUAUUUUCUUGUUCAACCUUUAGAUUUUCUGUUUGUGUUGGCAUUAUUUUUCCUUUUUCCUUUUUUAAUCUAGUAUUUCAGCCUAUUUUCUAUGGCAUCACUGCUUCAGUAUUCUUGGUUGUCGCUAAGUUUGCUCCAUUAUCUUUCGUGCAAAUUCAAGGAUGUGACCUGCAUGGCCAAAAUGGUGGCUUGAUUUGAACUAUUUGGCUUUUCUUCUGUCCAACAGUUCAAGAAAAGUAGACAUCAUAUUAUCAUAAGAUUUUAUUAUGCAUUGGAAUAUUGACUAAUGCCUCUAUUUUCCCUCACUUUGUAAUCAUUUGAGGCUUUCUGCUGAUACAUAGUUACCUGUGCAAACUUUCUAGGUAGUGGAAUGCGCAUAGUCAGCAAAAUUUCAUUGCAACUUCUAGUAUAACUCAUCAUUCUAAAAGUGCUACACUAUUAUUUCUGUCAGCAGGCAUAAAAUGAAGGCAAUGAAAGCAGCUGGUUCUUCAUGGAGAACCAGUGUUUAGGGUUUAGCAAAUUAUAGAAAUUCAAUUUAAGCCUUUUCCCUAAGUCUUUGCCACUUUGGUGUAACUUCAUUAAAAUCCUCUGCCCAUGUUGAGUUUUCUACUUUUGAGUUUGUCACAAGAGGCACGUUUGGAUGAAUGAUUCUUCGCCGGUACCUUAUAGAUUCAAUACUUGUUUCUUCUUGAUCUAGAGCAGCUUCCUUGAUUGGCCUUCACUAGUCUGUCUAUUCUAAAUUCCCAGCCCUCCUCGAGUAAUCUUGCAAAGGAACUUCCAAAUAAUUAUGCCUAUUCUCAGAAGCCCUUUCAUGUUGUUGCCAUCCUUGAGUUAAUCUUGUAAGCUCCUCGUUUUUGUUGUUGAACUUACAGGAUUGAGUAACUAUAGCAAAUGCAACUGCUACUCUAGUUAUUCUUCAGAAAACAUAGUGAUACUCCUGUGGCUAUGUUUUUGUUUUCUCUUUUUCAUAUGUCUGUCCUAUUAGAUGUUGGACUUAGGACUACUUAUCAUACUAUCUUAGGAGUUUCUUUCCUAGUCUUGAUUCUGUAUAUUUUCUUAUGGAUGUGGCCUUUUUCUGAUUAUGUUAUUCUACUAGAUGUUCUGCAUUUCUUUGCAUGUCCCACAACUUCUUAAUAGCUUCAAUUUCUGUUAGUCAUCUUACUGCAUCUAGUUUCACUAUCUCAUUCUAUUAUACUUGUUCUCUGUAGGAUCUUCUAAGAUCAAAAGAAUCAAGACUGAUCAUAGAUACAAUGGAGCAUGCCAGAGUCUUUGUUUUUAACUAAUAUGUGAUUUACAAGUUAUAACAUGCUUAGAUUGGUAAAGAGCAGGUUAUUGUGAUCAAGUUUUCAAGAACUAUGAGUCAAAGUGCAAAAAUUCAUUUUCUUUGUACUUAUAAACAAGGCAUUCAGUCUUGGAAUUGGGUCUCUGGCAUUACCUUAUUGGUACAGGUCAAUAUGGUAUGCCCUGUAUUGGCACAAGUAUGCUGGUGGAGUCGGCACAGCAACUGUGCCAUGUGUCAAUACGGGGAUGUGUUGAGCCCCUGUACCGUAUGGCACCAUACUGGGUUGGCAUGUAAAACCUUGCUUCUGAAUAUGCAUAUAGGAAGAUACAGAGGGGAUCAGUUGGUCCAAGAAUGGACAACUAAUCAUGCUAUCAGGAUUUAGUAUAACAAUUUCUAUACCUUGUGGUUAUAAUUAUAUUUUUGAGGUAUUGAUUUAUGUUCAUCUAUUUUGUACUUAUCUACAUUGGAAAAAGUGGUGCUUAGUUCUCAGAACCUGCAAUAAUGGGAGUAAUAUAGAAAUGAUUGGAUUAUAUAUGUAGAAAUGAUUGGAUUCUAUACGUGAGUUCUGUUUUAAUAAGGUUAAAAGAAGAAGAAUAUACAGUGAAAGAAAGAAAAUGAUGAUAUAAGCCCUUUAAGAUGGCUCACAAGCUCAUCAAAAUGGAUGGAAUAGUGGAGGAGAAAAAGGGGGAAAAAAUGAAAAUGCUGCCAUCUAAGAAGAUGUCACUGUCCUGUUCCAUAAUCUUUCAUAUUUCGCAAGGUUUAGUGUUACAAAUCAGGUAGGCCUUAAUAUCUGGUCAUUCAUUUUUUUUUGCUGUUAUCCUGCUUUUUUAAUUUCCCUGUGUGCCUUGUCAAUAGGUAUUUCUAUUCUUAAUUCUAGGCCUCUCUAUCUCAACAAAAGAUCUGGUGCAAUCCACUGUGAGAAGUUGGAGGGUGGUUGAAGUGUGGGGACUUGGAAUUGUAAGAUUGUGCCUGUAGCCGUGAUAUAUAGUAUAAAUUCAUGGGAAACAUGUUGUCCAUAUGGGUUCUUUUUCUUGUUAGCCUACCACUGAGCUCACCUUGGUGUUUUGUCUCGCUUUCUUUUCUAGAUUCAUUUUAUUUGCUCAGUGGCUUCUUAGGAGUGUGCAUGUAUUCUGCUUUCCAAUUUCACUUGUCUACACCUUAAUCUUGCUCUUUUCGUCACAAAGAAUAGUUAAUAAAAAAAGUGUACUUUGAUGCCCCCCCCCCCUCCUCCCUCCGUCUCUCUCUUUACUUCUGAGCUUUCUGUUUUUACAGUUGAAUUCAUUUGAUGCAUACAAGUUCCACUAUUCUACUAAAUUUAAUUUAUUAUAAUUCAAGUUGGUUUAUUUAUGAUUGUGUUAAUAGUGCUCGAUGCUCUUGCAGAGAUAAAAUUGGAUCAAUCCAUGCACAAUACUGUUGAGGUACAAAAAUCUCAUAAAGAAUCAGGUUAGUUUCUAGGUUAUCUUUGAAGGGAUGAAAGUGGGGAAUUUACAUAAAUUGAGAGGUAAUAAACUCUCUCUCAGUCUUAUUGCUCUCCUCUGCACAAGUCUUAUUUUUUGGGCAUGGGACAAAACCCCAAUCCUCACUACUUUCCUUCCACCUCCCGAGCAGCUUGAUAUACUUGCUCCAGGUAUCACUUUCCAUGCCAUAUCUUUCUCCCUUUUAACUUGUUUUUGUUUAGUUGGCAUUCAUUUGUGUUCCCCUUUCAAAUUUUGUGUUGGGACUUCUUUUGUAGCAACAGUGGUUCCUGCACAAACUUCAGUAACUCCCUUAGAAAAUACAAAUGAGCAGCCAUUUGCAAAGGAAGAGUUGUCAGCUGUAGACCGACAUGGAAAUGCAUUACCUGAUGAACCAGGGGGGGAAGUUGUUGAUGUUUCACCAACAGAUUCUUCUAUGAGGAGUUCAUUGGAGAAGGAAGAUAAGGGUAAAGAAUCAGAAAAGGUUCCUGCAGAGAAUAAAGGUGAUUAUUUCUCCAUUUUUUUAGCAAUUGAUCUUUUGGAUAUGUAAUUAUAAUGCUAAUUUACUUGCUAGGAUUGUAUAAUGAUUCUUCACUAUCCAUCAAAACUAUUCUUAUGUAUCCUGAUUUUUUAAUCAAUUAUAUUUUGCUGAUACUGAUCCUCACCACAGGUUCCAAUUUAUUCAUAAAUACAGUUGGGCUGAGUAUCUUGUUCAUGUGCAAUUAUAAUAAAUGGAUAUACACAUGCAUCUAUACAUUAUUUAUGCAUAUGAAUAUGUGCAUAUGUACAUAGUAUUUAAAUCAGAAAGACAUGCAAACAUAUUUCUCUCUGUGUAUGGAUGCAUGAGAGUUACUUAAAAUUAUUUGUUUCUGUAAAGUUUGGUUCUUCUUCAGAAUUAUGAGCAUCCAAUAAGCACCUGAGAGGCUUUCUUUUUACUUUAUGUGUGUGCAUAGAGUGUAAUUAUGCAAAGGGAAAGUGGGUUGCAGACAAAAGACGACCAUUAUAUUCUGGUUUUGGUUGCAAGCAGUGGCUUUCACAAAUGUGGGCAUGCCGGUUGAUGCGACGAACUGAUUUCUCCUAUGAGAGUUUUCACUGGCAGCCACAAGGUUGUGAUAUGCCAGAGUUCAAAGGUUCUGAAUUCUUGAGAAGGUGCGUUUUAUCUAAUAACUCUAUUUGUUUUCUAAAAAAAGUUCUUUUGCAUUUGUUUAAGCCAAAUGGGUGGAUUAUUUGCUAGCAGUAAGGGGAUUCUUUUGUAUGGUCAUUGGGAAAGAUUUUAUGUGAUUAAAAUUGGUGUUUAUUUUCCAGGAUGCAACAUAAAACAAUUGCUCUAGUAGGGGAUUCAUUGGGAAGACAGCAGUUCCAAUCCCUCAUGUGUAUGGUCACUGGUGGUAAAUAUAGCCCGGAAGUGAUAGAUGUUGGAAAGGAGUAUGGCCUUGUUAAAGCCCGUGGUGCCACACGACCUGAUGGUUGGGCAUAUCGAUUCCCAAGCACCAACACCACCAUUCUAUACUACUGGUCUGCUAGUUUAUGUGAGUUGGAGCCUUUGAACAGAUCCAGUCCAGCUACCCCUUAUGCUAUGCAUCUUGACCGCCCUGCAACAUUUUUAAAGCAGCAUCUUCACAGAUUUGAUGUGCUGGUACUCAACACUGGGCACCAUUGGAAUAGAGGCAAGUUUAGAGCAAACAGAUGGGAAAUGUAUGUUAGUGGAAAACCCAUCACAGAUAGAAAGCUUGCACAGAUAUGGACAGCCAAAAAUCUUGCUGUCUCGAGUGUUAUCAAGUGGCUUGAUACACAGCUUCCACAACAUCCACAAUUGAAAGCUUUUUUUAGGACCAUAUCUCCUAGGCAUUUUGUCAAUGGAGAUUGGAAUACCGGGGGAAGCUGUGAUAGUACCAUCCCAUUGGCUGGUGGGAGAGAGGUUCUGCAGGAUGGUUCUAGUGAUACUGAUGCUGAGGGUGCAGUAAGGGGAACAAGGGUGAAACUCUUGGAUAUUACUGCUUUGUCACGAUUGAGAGAUGAGGGGCAUAUAUCCAGAUAUAGCAUUAAAGCCUCCACAGGUGUGCAUGAUUGCUUGCAUUGGUGUCUUCCAGGUAUACCCGAUACAUGGAAUGAAAUACUUUAUGCACAACUGUAGGUCAUCAUUCAGGAGGUUCAUGCAUUGACAGCCACUCUUUAUGCUGGGUACCCUAAAAAUUUGCUACAUGGGGUACUCUUAAUGAACGUUCUACAAAGAAAUACAUCAAAGAAGUUCCUCUGAAGAAGUACUCUAUUUAUUGCGACACUUUUCCACACUGACGUCGAGUUUGCUCUAUACUUCUUGGUCAUCUAUUAUCUUAUAAUUGCAUACUAGAAAUUCUUGAUUGAAGGUCUGCUCUCAAAAAUAUUAAUAUAUUCUGGCGGCUCAACUUUCCUAGAGGAAAUUACAUUUGUGGACAACAAAAGCAUUGUAUUUCUAAGAGUGAUGUAGAAAGCACUUUAGUAGUGAUGUGUAUUUUAAUUAUAUGAGUUCAUUUUUGCUGAGACCUCACAAAAGAAAUGAGUCAUGCGAAUUGAAGGCCUUGUUGGCUGAGAGCUCUGUAUUGUGCUAGUUAGGCAUAUUGACUUUGGCAUAACAAAAAUUUGCCAGGCUGUAUUUUCACUGCAUCAUUAGAAAUUGUAUUAGAUUGCUUGUAUUGCUGUCAACAGCUUGAUGUGAGUUAUUUGCAGACUUUCUGUAUACUUCGAAGAAAUUUAAUGAAGGUACAAUUUAGCAACUUGUCUUAGGAAGCAUCCAUUUUGUUUCUUUUGAUACAUGCAGGAAAUGCAUAAAUUUAUUCAUCUCUAUUUGGCAAGAUCAUGUUGACGAGAUACUAACAUUUUGUUAUGUUAGAGGUUUAAAUCUUUAGUGUAUAUUGGAGUUUGUGGUGAACUUCAGAACAAUAUUAUGAUGUUACAUUUGUUGUGUGAGGUACUAUCAUGUCAAAAGCUCUGAAAUUAUCCAAAUCAGAUUCUUAUAUUAUUUUUAUUUUAAACAUUUGUCUUUCUGUUUAGGUUUGUAACAUCUACUUAUUGCGACAAAUCUGAACUUCAUGUUUCGCUAGGUCAGAGAACAAUGGUUGUUAGUUGAUCAUUUCUGAGCCAUGGACAGUCAUAUUACAGACACCUAUGGACUAUUAAAUCCAUGCACAUGAGCAGCAUCAGUCUAGCAUCCAUGUACAUGGGCACAACAUCAGAACAGCAUGAAAGAAAUCGGGACUUUGCUUCUCUCUCCCUCCCUCUCCCUCUUUCUCCCUCCCUCCUUACCUCCCUGAUGAGCAUUCCCUCGGUUCAAAUUUUUCAGAACAUCCUUUUAGGCUACAUCAACAGUUCAGGUACAUUAUUUGGAGAGCUUUGAAGCAGAAGAGCAACCAUCUUCUUCCUCAGCUGACAUGCGUGGGGAGGACGCCAUGAAAUGGGGAGCAAUGAUGAGCAAACCCUGUCUUGAUCAGUGAAUGGGGUUACUUGAUAGGUGCUCAUCAGAACUCACUAGGAAGGAUGGAUCUUCAAGACAAUGGUUAUUGAACAAUGAAUUCAAGCACUCAUCUAUGAAUUUUCUUUCCUUCCUUUGUUUUCUUGAAAAUAUGGCGACUUCCUCGCGCCAUCAGGUUAUCAGAAGAUCUCGUAAGGAAGGAUCUUAAAAACAGUUUGUUAAAGAAUAAAUCAAGCACUCAUCACUUGGGUUUGAACCAGAGACAUCUCACCCAGAGGGAUGGAUGUCGAUGCUAUUUCACUUUCACUUUGUUACAGAGAAUGACAUGAAUAGAGUUCUCUUACAGGAUCAUGUGUCUCGCUUGAUAAACAUUGGCUUUAAAUUAUUGGAGGCAAGAUUUUUUGUCGCAACGGGGGUGCAAUGAAACAUCCUACAAUUUGGAUACAUCUUCUUGGUCUCUGUAUUGUUUCUGUUGCAAGAGCUACACCCUGACUAAAAACGUUGUAUUAGAAGAAGAUUGAAUCAUAUUUUUGUUUAGAUCUUGUCAAUCCUGACUUUAAAAGAAGAUUGAAUCAUAUUUUUGUUUAGAUCUUGUCAAUCCUUGGUCUCUUUCACUACAACAAAAAUAGGAUUUUUCGAUUCUCAUUUGCCAACGCAAAAAAGAAGCGUGGGUAAUUUGGUGACCGAGCCAAAAUUUGUCGACGCUUUUUAGCAGUGUCGGCAGGAAUUAAACCAAAACGACACUAGUACGAGCAUCAUCGAAAUCCAAGAUGACGCUAAUAAGUAUCGUUGGAAGCCAAAACCCUCGCCUAUCAUCACGCUUUGGCCUUUGACGAUGCUUAUAAGCAUCAUUGGAAGCCAAACUACCACCUACACUGUUUAGAGCAUGCUCUGGCUUCUAGAGCAGCCUCUUAGGGAUGAAACUAAAACGGCACUUAUUAGCAUUGUUUAUAGCAAAUUGUAAAACGAUGCUUAGAGAUGUCGUCAGAGGCCAAGGAGGGAAAGGAGUAGACGACGCUUAAACGCGUCGUCGGAAUCCUCCCCCAUUUAACACUAACUUCCCCCUUAAACUCAUUGAAGAGGGCUUAAACUCCACGUAAGACGACGCUUAUAAGCAUCGUCGGAAGCCAAUGGUCUAAGGGACCUAAGACGACGCUCAAAUGUGUUGUCGGAGGCCAAGUCCGCCUAUAAAACGCCCAGACCAAGCAAUGGGAACCCUAGUGCGGGUUAAAGAGAGAGAGGGAGAGAGGAGGAGGGAGUGCAUACGGUCGGCGGCCCCACGCUCUGUAGAACAUCAGAGGGAUCGAUGUGGGGGAGCAGAUCUGCCGCUCGGACCAGAUCUGCCACUCUGAAGAACCCUGCUUGGCAUGGGGGACCAGAUCCGCUGCUCUGAAGAACCCUACUUGGCAUAUGUCUCCACCGCCGCCCAGACCAGAUCCACCAUCGAGUUCUCUGACGACAUCACCACGAGCACCGGCUCCACGCUCUGUUGAUCUCCGGCCUCUAAGGAAGCUUCAGGUGGUUCUCCGGUAGCUGAGGUUGGGGUUGGGGUUGGGGAUGCUUCCUGUCAAUUUAUUUCUAUUGUAAUUUGUAAUUUGUAAAUAUGCUUUCUGUGUUAUUCUUAUUGUAAAAUAUAAUUUAAUAGAAGAAAAAGAAACAUCCUAUAAAUUAGACAUAUAAUGUAAUAUGCUUUCUAGUGUAAUUUAUUAAAGAAACAUCAUAUAAAUUGGACAUUUGUUGUUCUUCUUGUGUUAUUCCUUUUCUAUUUUUUUUAAAAAACUUUCUGGGAUUAUCUAUCUUGUGCUAUUAGAAGAAGAAGAAUCAGAAGGAACCAGUAAUGGAGAAGAAAAUCAAAAAUUAGGGUUUUUUCCUUUAAAUUAAGUUUGUUAAAUUUAUUUUCGGCAGAGGCUAGAAUGUCUGUUAAUCUUUCUCUCCAGUUGGUGGAUCCAGGCUUUUUUUUUGGCCCCCCAAAAAAUUAAUUAGCCUUUUAAAAUAAUAUUUUUAAAAAAGAAUAACUCUAACAAUGCUAAGCAUUGUUAGAAUUAGUAUUGUCAAUGCUUAAAAGUGUCAGCAAUAAAUGCGACAAAACUACCACUAUUGCCGAUGUUUUUCAAAAGUGUCGGCAAAUAAAAUUUUCAUGCUAAUAUUGCUGACACUUUUGCGAUAAUUUAAGAAGCGUUGGCAAUAAAAAUACUGACGCUUAUAAGCUUCGGUAUAUGUAUUAAAAAGCAUCAGGAUUUGAAUCAACUCAUAUUUUUGUUUAGAUCUUGUCUCUUGGAAACUAUUCCAGGUAGAAAGAACAAAGCUUUUUGGCAACCUUUUGUCGACGAAAACGUCACUAUUUUCUUUUAUUGUUAAGUGUUUGAUGAUGUGCUUUUGAGUUUCAAUUACCGGACUUGAUUGAUUUGAUUCUCUAAUGAUAAGGAAUGUACUAGCAAAUUGCUCCCACAACACAUUUGUAUUCAGAUUCAAAUGAUUCGUUGACUUCCCAAGAAUUCAAAUUCCAACAUUGGACUCUAAUCUAAGUUAUGCAGGAAUACAAAAUCAAAACCAAAUUCAAAUUGCAAAUGAUUAUAUAAGCUGUAAGAAUGCCAUGUAAAAUGAGUAAUCAGGGAACAUAUAAAUAUUAUAAAAUGACUCCAUAGUAAAUUGUGGAGAUCAAUAUAUUCUACUAAAAGAUUGUUUUCUUUCAUGGUAUCAGGAGCUUGCCAAAGACCAAUAUCUCUUUUCAUUUCUCCCACCCUCCUCCAAUCACUAUUUUUUUGUGCAACAAUGAUAUCCAACUUCUCAUCUUCUUCCCUCUCCGCUGCGGACUCAUCAAAAUCUUCUUAUUUCAGCCACUUUACCAAUAUCAAACUUGAUCAUCACAAUUAUGCUCUCUGGCGAGUCCAGUUCUUCCCGUUUUCGAGGCUCACAAUCUCUUAGGAUAGGUGCGGUAUAGCUAACUAAGCUUACUCAUCAAGGGCCGAACGAUAGAGCUGCUCUUGUUGCUAAUGGGGAAAGAUUGGGCGCUGAGGAAGGGAAAGGUCCUACCUGAUCCUCGGCCGCCGUCAGCCAAAGAGAAGUGUAUUGAUGACACUCUACUAUGUCCCUCUCAAUAUUUCUCCUCCUCCAUAGAACCUAUCUCUUGAACCUUAAGUAGUCCAGCCUACAUCCAGUAGCAAAACCAUGAUCAAAUCUUUCUCAGUUGGCUUCUAUUUUCUCUCACUGAGUCCAUGUUUAAUCAAGUGGUAGGUCUUGAAAUCUCAGUUACUAUUGGGUCUACACUCAAUCAUACGCAUGUCUCUCACUCUAAAAACAACAUUAUAAAAAGCCUUUGGAGGAAUAUGUUCAUAAAGUAAAAAACCUCGUUGCACAUUUAGCUGUUGCACAUCAUGUUCCAAAGUUAAAAAUGGUUCUCUAUAUCCUCAGUGGUCUUGGUUUGCAAGAUGAGUUCUUUGUGUACACACCCCAAGAUAUCCUGUCUUGACUCUUUGCAUUUCAAAAGACUGAACCCUAGGCCCUAGGUUGGCCCUAGGACAAUCCUGUGUCAAGCCUAGAGUCAAAGUCUACCCAAAUCAUGCCAAAUAUGAUUUCCAACCCUGGUUGUUUCUUCUAAAUUUUAGAUUAGAUGAUGAAUAUUUUUCUAAUUUCUAUUCUUUGAAUAAAUCCCAAGAACCCUAUCAUCCUCACCCUUGAUUGCAGCAGGGUGGGGUCAAUAGGUUUUUGACUUGAAUAAGUAGGGCUAAGGCUAUGUAGGUGCUCACCCUUGGGACUUGAGUCCAUGGUGAAUAAGGGCCUAGGGAACCUAUGAUUGCCUCAGGGUUGGCCUUCUUCCUUGGCAGCACUCCUAGUCUUACUCUUUCUCUGGUUUAUUCCAUAGCCUUGUUUGCUCUCAUUUCAUUUAGAUCUCCACUUCUACUGGUAGAAAAAAAAGUAGAUGGCGAUUCCGUUAUCUUUCUGAUCCAUCAUUUGCUAUACCACACGGGAAAAUAUCAACAUUUUGUUAGUUUUGUUAAUCGCUCCAACAAUGAUACAAGUAAUGCACCUUAAUCCAACAAUGGAAAGCUCUCCAAGUUUAAGCAAAUGUUGCUAAUUGCUCCAACAAUGAUACAAGUAAUGCACCUUAAUCCAACAAUGGACGCAACUCUAGUGGUCGAGGUUGUAGUCAUGGCCGAGGCAGCUGAGGUGAAUAUGGAUUACUUCCUAUUCCUUAUCCACCUUGCUCUACAUCAUUUAGCAAGCCAAUGUUUCAGGUAUUCAACACAUCUGGUCAUCCUUUGAAUAGUGCAUAUCCAACAAAGAGCUCUCCCCUUUACCAAACUUUGGUGGAACAUCCACUAUGUUUGAUUAUUUUUUUUUGGAAGAAAGCUAGAGUCUUGACUAAGGCUGCAAAUAGGUCGGGUUGACCCGUGACCCAUCCUGACCGAUCUACUUAGAUCCGACCCAACUCAUUUUGGAGAAUCCAUGGGGCCGGGUCGGAUUCUAAAAUUGGACUCGUUCCAUUUUUCGGAUCGAGUCUGGAUUUACUGGAUUCAAAUCCGACCCGAUCCAACCCAAUUGAAACUUCGGUAAUUUUGAAUUUUCAAUCCUACGACUUGCCCCGACCCAACUCGACUGGACCUGAAUCUGUAAAACUUUUUUUUCUGUUCCCUUUUGGGGUGCAAUGAUUUAGUUCAUAAAGAAGUUGUUAGUAAAAAGAUCUACGAUGGAUAGCAAUGAAAAUAUAGCUGAAGUUUUAAGUACACUUCUUAUGCAAAUCUGACUUUAAAUUUGGUCUGCAAGCGGCUAGCUUUGGAGGAACCAAGAUCGAUCCGACGGCUUGGGGGGACAAGAAAUGCCACUGGGAAUCCCGUUUCCUGGCCCAGGUGUGGAUUCCUUCGUAGGAAUGAAACCAUACUUGCUCUUGGAAUUGUCACGUAACUCUAUCAUGCUUUGUGUUUGGCUAGAUUUUAUCAUGUUAAUCUAAUUGUUUAGGACUUCAAUUAAUUUUUAGCCAACUGGUGUUUUGUCCAUGGAGUUAUAACAACCAUUCUCAUCUUUCUGAGGAUGUGUUCUGUUAGUGCUGCACUCUUUUAUAAACUGAUCAACUUAAAUUAGAUUGGUGAGAUCCCAGUCAGAUUGGUGAUCGAGAUUUGAGAACAUGUCAUGCAGGUUUCGGAUCUUGGUCUAGAUCAUAAAUUGUAUCAGUGGUUUAACUUGAGCUCGUGAAAUACUGCUCGCUGUGGGUGCAGAUGUGCUCACUGUAAGAUGUGGAAUUAUUAGUCAAUGACAGGUUUUAAUGUUCUUACAUCUCUCAGAUUAGUUUGCUGGCGGACAUAAUGAUAUACUAGCAGUUUUCUUUGUUUUCUCAUGGAAAUUUUUCAGUUUGGAUUCCCUAUUUUUAUUGCUUGUAUACUCACUAUCAUUAAACAAUCAAUCUAUCAUCAAUCGAUUAAGUAUUUCAGAUAAGAACAGGAGCCAAAGUUAGCAGAAGCGUGAAGAGUUCAGGGGCUUAGAUGGUCUGAUGCUGCUAGGCCAUUACUGGGAUACACACAGAGAUGGCUCCAUAUUAGUUGACACUUGACAAGAAACAUAACAAACAUGAUUACAAAGCCAGAAAUUCAUCAACUAUUAAAAAUUCAGCGAGGCAACAAAGCUUAAAUUCGUACUCGCAAGUUGAUACUCUAUGUAGCUGCAGUGUGCAAAAUUGCUGAAAGUCCAGUGGGCCCGAACCGGACCCGACCCAAACUUGAAUCGGAUCCGAAUUUUUUUGGAUUGGGUCCGGGUUAUACAUGGACCCGACCCGAUCCGAAUAACCCGUGGGGUCAAAAAUAAUGGCCAUGGACCCGAACCGACUCAAUUUUCUAUUAGGUUGGGUCUAGGUCGACAAUUGGGAACCGAAUAAGGAACCGAGUUGGAUCGAGGUCACUCAUGACCGGUCCAAUCCGACCCACUUGCACCUCUAGUCUCGACCACUCAAUUUAUUAAUGGGUCAAAAUGUACAAGAGAAGGAAAAGAUGGGAAUAUACAUAAAGAGAAAUACAUAGAGAGGUAAAUGGAAGAAGAAAGUAGAGAAGAAAAGUCACAAGCAGUUACCAAAAAAAGAGAGAGAGUAAAGAUUAAGGAGAAGAAAGGUGGUAGGAAAGAUCACACUGUGCUAUAAAGGCAAUGAAGUCUUCCACUUUACUACUUUCAAGUAAAUUUCUCCUCUUUGUCUUGAAUUUGAAUUUUCCGCUUCACUGAGUCCAAAAUAGCUUUCCUCUAGCUGAAAAGAUUAGUUCAGAAGGUUAAUUAGUGGUGGAAGUAAAGAAUUGAUGUACUUGCUUGAGUUUAGCCCUGUUUUAACAACUUCGGGUUGGUCUUUGUGAUUGUAGAGAAGGAACAAUUCAUUUAAAAGCGAAGAUCCUUUGAAAGCAACAAAAUCAGUAGAGGAGGAUUUUUCAAGGAAGAUCCUUGAAUUCCUUUUCUUCCAAUAGCUCCAAUAUAUAGCAGCAUGCAACAUGAAAACAGCCAGUUGCAGCUCUUUAGAAAAAUAGCUAUUUUCUCCAAAUUAUGCAGAGAUCAACAAGUUUUAUUUUUUAUUUUUUUUGGCUACAAUGGAUAACUCAGAGAAGUCUAGUAUGAAUAUACUCAAAAAAGUCAAAAGGUAAUAAGUUUCGGAGCGCUCUAGGCAGCUCCCUCUCACCAAUCUAGAGAACUCCCCUAGAGUGAUUUGUCGCAAACGAGAUCAACUAGGUUUUCAAGUGGAGGAAUCCUUAAAGCAGAGCAGAAGGCAUCGCAUAUUUGAGAGGUAAAAGGACAGGAAAUAAAAAAAAUGUUCCACAUAUUCCCUGUGACAGUUGCAAAGGAGACAACCACCUACAUACUUGUCCAGUUUUCUUUGCAAAAGGUCUCAGUAUUUAACUUAUACAUGAGAGUAAGCCAAAGGAAACAUUGAACUUCUGACGGAGCAUCAAUGUUCCAAAGGGAGGUUGCAAGAUUUUAUUUAACCAAUCUAGAGUUGAGAAAGCGAUACAAUGAGCCACAGCAGUAGUUACCUGAACUUUCUAGUUCUCAAAUCAGAUCAUCUGAAGAAGAAUUUAGCUGGAAAUCAGCAAGAAGAGAAGAGCUUGAAGAAACUUGCCAUAGAACCAGAUUUGCACCUGCAGAAGGAGCAUAAAUAGGGGAAAACAGCUUUGAGUGGCGCCUCAGUGAGCCAACAUUCCUUUCAAAAUUGCACAUUGGAACCAUUACCAACAAUGAAAGAUGAUCUAUUGAAAAUUAACCAAUCUAAUUUAUGGGGUGCCUCACCUAUUGCUCGUGUUAAUAAUAAAUGGUAUUAUAUUAGCUUUAUUUUGAUGAUCACAGGAGAUAUAAAUUUGGAGUAGUCUCCAUUCUCAAAAGAUUUAAAACUCAUGUCAAAAAUUUGUUAAGGAAUAAGAUUAAAAUGUUGCAAUCAGAUGGUGUUCCUAAAUUUCACAAAUCUCCUUAUUAGAAUCUAUUCGGCCAAGUGCCCAAUUACAAAAGCCUUACAAAUACUUGGUUGCACUUGUUUUCCAGGGCCAAGACCUUAUCAGGAAAACAAGUUGGGAUCUCAUGGCAUAAAAUAUGCUUCCAUGUUCAUCAUUUCCUCAAAUAUGGUGACUUGUCUUCAACAUAGAAUUUAGAAAUCCGAAAUUUUCUCAUAUGAAGGACGGGAGACUAACUAAUCUAUUGAAGCAAUGUCAUGUGGCUGUUGUUGAUGACGAAAGGGAGCCUCCGUGCUUCUCUCAAGCUUCUAAGCACCCUUGUGGAGUUAUACGUGGAUGAGUUCAAUGAUCUUCUCCAUAACGCUAAAUGUUCCUUAGUUCCUAAUAAUUCCAAUAUGAAUUUGGUUGGUGUAAAUGGGUGUUCUCAAUCAAAAGACAGGUAAUAUGUCUAUUGGCUGACACAAAGCAAUCCUUUCAUAAAGGUUAUAAUCAUAAAUAACCCGGGCUUAGACUAUGAUGAGAGCAUGGCAAAAUGUGGCCGAUCAGCAAUCCUUUCACACAAAUAUUUUUACUGAAAGCUAGUUCUACCACACUGACGUAGUAAAUCUUCCAGCUUGAUAUUAUUUGAUCUCAUACGUCAUGUUCCAAUGAUUGUCAAGGUUUAUAGAUGCUACCUAUCGAAAUAAGACAACAUUAUGUUUAUAUAUAGCUCUCUAGAACCUUAAGGCUUUGUUUGGUUAUCAAGAAAGUGAAAGAAAAGGUUUGUUAGAAAAGAGUCUUCUUUUCUGUUGUUUGGUGGUACAAAUGAAAUCCAAAAAGAGAAUAUCAAAUAGAAAAUUUUGGGUUAAAACUUUCUCUAAAAAGUCUAAGAUUUUCUUGCUACAAGAUACUAGCUUUUAGAGAAAUCAAAAUAUAGGCAAAUGGCUGCAGAUAACUCAAUAGUAUCUUCACCACUUUCUCGCCAACUUUCUUUGCAAUUUUUUACUUUAACCUAAUUAUGAGAAAAUACCCUAUUUUCUGUUCUGUUCUUUUCUUUUCUUUAUUUUUCUCCUACUAAUUUAUCUUUUUUUUUCUUUCAUUUUUCCGGCAAUCAAAUAGUGCCUAAAGCUCUCCAAAGUUCAAAAUAUGAAAUUUGCUUUCUUUGAACUUGAAUGGCUUUACAAUGCUCCAUUGCCAAAUAUCUUUAUUCUCUAUGAGAUGAAGGGUGAUACACAUGAGAGCUUUUAGGCAAUAAUCAACGUAUUACGUAUCCACUUUGACAUUAUUUGUCCAAAAUUUAAAAUGGUUGCUCAAUAUAUUAUAGUCUACAUGGUAUUGGUUUAUAUUAUAGACUAAGUGAAGAAUGGACAACAUUACCUAGGAUAGAGGCAAAAUAGCACUUCAUCCUCCUUGAUUAUGUUGUUCUCUAUCAAGCUUUAAUUUUUUUUUUUAACAAAAUCAUUAAAAUGGAUAACUUUGUUUCUCCAAUUUUCAUACAGCAUUUUCCUUAAAUUUCUCCGAUAUAAUGUCGCACUUCAAGUAUUCACAGACAAAAAGAAUGAGAGAAGAAGUGUGAUAUCCUCCAAGUAGUCUUAAAGCCUGUACAAUUACAUAUUCUCAAGGUUAGGAAACAGAAGUUAGCAGUGAGAACUUGACAUGCAGCCCUAUCCUUCCUUUCUCCACAUCCAGCUUUGCACCAGUGACCAACCAAUACCCAGGGGUGUCCUGUGGUCCCUUGCACACAUGAGAUGUGUCCACAAACCUCAAACGUUUUUGGGCCCCCAUAGGCGCUGGUGGGCCUGAGGGGAACACACCAGAGUCCACAAUGACAACUGGGCCUGGCUGCCCCUCCUUUUCUACUCCAACGAAUGGUGUACUGAUCGAUGAGAAGAAGCCUGAUUUCUGAGAGAAGCCCAAUGGGCCCUGCUCCCACCUGGACUGGCCCACAAUGCAACCAGGCACUUCAGAGUAUAGGAGCCUCAGGUGCAGCACACUCGUCGACUCAUGGGCCUUCACAUGGAGCUGAGCUCCAGUCACAAUGAAUGAAGUUUCUCCACCAUUCGUCGACCACUGAGGAUCGUACUUCACUGGCACGGUGCACACGUGCGAGAACAUCUUCCAUUGGACUGCCUCAUAGUAUCUUUCAUCUGCGAUCUCCUCCGAUCCCCGCCACAAUGGUGCUUUAUUUGACUGGGCUUCCAUGAAAGUGGGGGUGUUUGAUAAAUGUUGAAGGUGGAUGGCUAGCCUAAUAACAACACGUAAAUAGUCCAAUUAGUUCUUGACCAUAAUUACAUGCACACUCAAAUGAAACAAUAAACAAUUAAAGCAAAUUGAGCUAACCGAUCAUUUUUCUUGCCCUCAAGGUGGAGUCUCAUGCCGGUGAUAGGUUUUCUUUCGACGAUGACCUGAAAUUGUGGGUGUAAAGAGGUCGUAUGGUGACGAGAGGUUAAUGGUGAUUGUUAAAUAAAUAUUUAAGAAUUAAGGUGGUGCUACCUGAGUAGUGUUGAUAUAGAGCUUGGGACCCAUUAGAUUGAACUGUAAAGAAGGAGUUGGAGUAGAUCUAAUUGAGCUAGGACCAAGAGGGUGGUCACUGUGCAUAGGAGCCCACAACUUCUGAGAUUGGAAGUCCAAGAAGUAUUGCAAGUCAGCUAUAGGAGGUUUAUCUGCAUAUGAAGACAUAAAAUAAGGUUACAUGACUUUCAUAUUAAAAUAUUGUCUGAACGUAGUCAUGCACCGAAAGAAACAUUGGCUCAAAAGAUAAUAUUAGAUUAAGAUAGCUUCCUAAAUAUUUCCACAUCAAUACCUCUUUUUUCUUUCAUUUUGGGCAGCCAGACCUAACUUGUUUAACCUCUAUUUCAACCAGGAUGAUGUUGGGUAUCCCUCCUUACAAGGAGAUGAAGCCGUCUCAGUGUUGGUUUAGAUGGAAUGAAUGAGACCGGUAAUCAAAUUUGAUAUCUUAUAAUGUAGAAGAAAAAGGGACAGAUAUGGCUGCUAACAUAAUUCCUUCAGGUCCUCUAGGUUUGGGAGAGACUGUCUAAUGUAGAAAAGACCUUGUCGAGGACAUCAUUGCAGCCCAUGACUUUGGGAAGAUUUAUGUUUCUUCAAGUAAAGAAGAAAAUGAUGUCCUCUGGGUUUUGUGUUUCGUUAGAUCGAGGACUCUCUGAUUUAUCUUCUCUAUUUUGUUUUCCUUUUCAGUUAUAGCUUCGUUUAUGUACCCUUUGCUUUGCUCUACUUCUUUGUAAAUAAUAUCUGUUUGCAUCAAUAAAAUUGUGGGGAAGAUUCUCAUUUCCUCCAUUUUCCAACAAAAACAAAAGAGAGCUAUGUCUAAAAGGAGUAAGUCCCUUCUUUGAUUGAAAUUGAUAUUUGUUUGGUGAGAAGACCUCUUAUGUGCGAAAGACAUGAGAAAGUCUGUUGAUGUUUGGUAUCUCUUAUAUAGAAUUAUGGAGCAUUAUGAUCCAAGAAGGGUAAUCUCUAGUAUUACUUAUAGAAGAAUGUAAACAUAAGUUAAAAUUUUUUAGGGUAGGUUUGACUGGACUAGCAUCCGUGGUUUUUUUUGGAAGAAAUUUUCACCUAAAAAUUCUUGGUCUCUUGUUGUUUUGCUAUGCUAUGAUGGUGCCAUUUUUGUUUUUUAUUCUUGUUCCUACUAUUCUCAUAUAGAAGGGAGGAGAUUAUUUCUACCAUUUUAGCUCCAUGUCUUAUGUGAAUUAAUUGUAAACUUAUGUGCACUGAUGUUGCUCUCCACUACUUUUGCAUAUGGUAGUUUCAAACUCUUUUGAUCUAAAUAGCUGAAUAGAUGAACCAAAGCUACAUAGAUCAACAUUUCAGAGCAUUCAUAUAACCAAGCCUCAAAAUGUCAAACAUAUAAUAAUCCAUGACAAAUCCCUAAGACCUCCUCCAAAUUAUUUUGAACAAAUGAGGGGUUUAUUGUAGAAUCUACAAGAUCGUGAGGCUAGGAUUCCUCAGUCCUAGUUCUUCCAAAAGAGAAAAGGUAAAAAUGAAAAUUAGAAGACCAUUCGACAAAAAAGAAAGAUGUUUGUUGGUUACAAAAGAGUAAUCUUCCAUUAUUUUCAUUGACUGUAUCGAAAUCAUCAGGAGAUUGGAAAUGCAUCAAGAGAGAUGAAGCUUUAUUUUUUCUUAAUCUAAGAUAUAUCAAAUUUCUACAAAGAGAAGAUAACUUACAUCGAAGGUAGAGGUUAAUGGCGUGGGAUAGGAAGCCAGCACCACGAACACCCUUUAGGAGGGAGGUAAUGGGGACAAAGGUGAAGUUGAUCACAUCGGGCAUUGAAGGGACUGUUAGGAGCCAUUCACAAUGGCUGCUCAUGGAUGUAUCUCCUCCCCUCUUCAAGCAUAUGACUGUUAUGCCCUGCAUAAACCAAAUUAAACAUUAUUUUUUUUGCAAAUGGUUAAGGUAAAACUAAAGAAGUUAUAAUCUCAAGAAAUUUAUUGCCGGCAGGCAUUACUUGUAUAGCAUAUUAUUGAGUAACCUUACUACGUACAUCUUUGCAUGAGACUGGAUUAAUGCCUUCAACAAGCCUAGGUUGUGAGCCAAACACAUUGAAAGCCUCCGGAACCUGUUAAUAAGCCCAUUAAUAAGUCUCAUAAAAGCUUCUAUGUGAGUGUUCAUCGGGGAGAGGGAGAGUGACAAAGUCAAGGUGACCUUGAGCUUAUGCUCUUUGGAUUUAGAGCGGAGAGAAGGCAGGGUACAAAUCCCAGUGAAGAGUUGAUCUCCAAGUUUAUCCAAGUGUAGCUUGAGUUCAGAUGGAGCUAGAUUAGAAGACCCGUCUUGCUUCAGAUAAACCACAUCCUGGCCUCCGACACUUAGCCCCACUAUUAUAUGUGUCCCGUAGUUUUCAAUGAAUCUGCUUUAAAGACAAAGAGCAAAUAGCUGAUUAGUAACCAAUGGCCCUAUCAGAAUUCAACCUUGUUUUCUUUAUUUUCAGGCUUUCUUUUUAAUAUUUUUCUAACCCUUCUGAGUUUGGUUCCUUGAACAAAACUUUGAAGUCAAAGCUUGCUAGUUGGAGAGCCAACUUGGCAGUUGCUGUACUUAAUUAUUAUUUGGUGUUAAAGAUCAUGGACUAGGGCAGCUUACAAGUUUAGUGGGCACACAAAUAAUCCAUCAGGCUUCAAUAUGUUGAGAGAGUUUCAACUCUAAUCUGAUGACCAAGGGAAGAGAAUAAAGAAAACAAAAACUAAUACGUAUUUUUCCGUGAAAACCUAUUCAUUUAUGUCUAUCUUUGAUAUUGUUGUUACAAUUUUUAUUGACUCUCCCAAGCUAAUUGUUUUCACACUCAAUAACAUUGAUAACAUCUUUUCUUAUAAGAAGAAGGAAUUUUUUUAUAUGCAAUCUUAUAAAAAUAUCCAAUUACAUAUUUAUCCUACAAAGUUGCGAUUUACAUAUAUUUAUCUCUAGAUCCAUUUUUUGGCAUAUUUACCCCUAUCAGAUAUAUAUUAGACAGUGCUGUUAAACUACAACUAAAAUUGAUUGAAUUUAGAAAAUGAUAUUUUACCAUCAUAGAACAAGGUCCAAAAUUUUGAAGUUAAAAUCAUGUUGAAGAGCUGAGACAAACAAAGCAGAAACCUCCUAAAUACCAACACGGUACCCAAUAAUUGUUUAAAUUAGUGAUUUAUUUUCUAGAUACCGAAUGAAUUGAAUUCUCUCUAUUAGCUUAUUAUAUUCGAAUAGUUCACUUUCCUCUUUGAUAAACAAACAAAUUAGAUAUAUACAUCAUUUCAUUCUUUUGGGUAGCUUAUUCUAUUGUUCAAAAGCAGUGCAGAAUGUAGAUCUAUGUCAUUUAAAAGGCAAUAGUAAAUUAAAAGUUUAUCAAUAGUUUGCAUAUUCUUUUCCCUUUGAUAGGAAUGUAUAAGAUAAAUAUAUUUCAUUUUAUUUGCUUGGUGAUUUCAACCCUUCACUACCUAAAUAAAUAAAGAUAUAAAUUUAUUUCAGAGUAAUUAAAAUAUGUUAAUUUAAAUCAUUUUAAAUAGCAGAUUUUCAAACUAUUCAAAGAAAUAAAGUGAAGUAAAUUUAUUUUUAAAUUUUAUGUCAAAUAGAUAUGAAUAUGCAUAGAUAAAAAAAAGUUGUUUAAUUACUAAUCGUUAAAUAACAUGAUCCACAUUUUAUACUACAUUUCAAUAGUAAAACUAAUGCAAAGUAACCGUAAAUCAUCUAAUUUUCAGAAAAAAUAAUAAAGAUUUAAGAUACGGUGUACAAAAAUGGUGGACAUUUUUCUUUUUUUUAUGAAAGAGAAAAAAUUGACUACUCAAAUACCAUAAGCUAGCUGAUAUAAUUCAAGUCACUAAGGAUAGGUAAAAUGAAUCAUCAAUUUAUGAUCUCAACAUAUAUUGUACCAGUGGGUAGGAGGUUUAUGUUUUAGGUAGUGGUCAAUGGCUCCAUUCAACUCUUAAUAUUAUUUUCAAUUAAAUUUUGAAGCUAGAUAUAUGAGGGUAAAAAAUCAUUUCACUUUAACAAUAAUUUAACAAUGCUAUCUAAUGGUCUCUAAAAAAGAGUGAUGACAAGAAUAAAUAUGAAAAAAGAAUUGGACUUAGGGGAUAUAUAUGAAAAUUACAACUUUGUAAGGGUAAAUAUUUUUAUAGUGAUAUAAAUGAUUUUUUUAAAUAAAAAACAUAUCAAGAUAUAUGAAUCAGCACCAUAAGUCACUAAAUUUGCUAACUUCAAUUCUUUUCUCUUAUUUGCUCCUAAACCUGAUGAUUUUUCUACAUUCAUUUUUUAUUUCUAAAUGUUUGGAUUUUUUCCUUUAGUAAAGUUACUUACCAUGCAUUCAACUUGUAAGCAUGCAUAUAUUUCAUUAGUCGAAAAAUAUGAUCCAAGGCCUACCUUGGUUGACUUAAUUAUCAUAUUAGCUCCAAAUGGAGAAAGAGAGAGAAAAAAGCAGCCAACCAAGGAAAAAAUGAAAGGAAAUAACAAUUGUUUAAUUAGUAUACCUUGAGAGAGCAGCUGGGUCCCAAGAAGAAGGAACAUCUUUGAGGACAUGAUGGGAGAGGAUGAGAGGUUGGCGGACAAUACGAAGGUCAAAGAGAGAGAUGAAGUAGCCAUCCAUGGCCAAGCAUUUGGUCCUUGAGGCAUCUCGAGCCCAUGAGCUGCUGUUGAAUUCGAACACACAGUUGAACAAGCCUGAGGGGAUCUUUCCAGCCAACGAGCUCCUCUGGUUGAACAGCUCCGACAUCUGUAUGUGAAUCCAAGCUAUAAAUGCUGUCACCUUUGGUUUGAUUAAUGCCAGCUAAAGUCAUUAUUUCAAACAAUAUUCUAAUUAAAUUUCUCUGGUCUGCACCAAAUCGAAGAAAUGGUCAAGGUCCUGAAGGCAGGUCUAGCCAAUCUCGAUCUGUUAUUUCUUUUACAACACUCCUUUGAGCCCGUCAACCAAUUUGAAUAAAGAAAUUGGCCAGCUCUGUCAUUUGAUUUUCAAUUGAGUAGGUUCGGAUUCAAUUAUUGUAGAAAAAUAUGUAUAACAGAUUAUUUUUAGUUUAUAAAUAUUUGUUGACAAAUGAUCCUUGGAAAGCUUAUAAAUAUGAACCGAGGCCUUCCCCAAUGGUAAUACUUCUUUACUCAUACUAGUAAGCUCUUUGUUUUUCUUUUUUUUGAAAACAGUGGGUAAAAGACAUCACCAUUGGAUUCUAGUACUACUAAAUCAUAGCUAAAUAGCACUGGCUAUCCCCUAUUGACGUUUUUACAAAUGGCUAAAGCUUCUUGCCAGGGCUGGCCAAAUGGAAAAGACUCACAUCCUUUAAUAAACAUGAGUAAAGACCCAUAGUAACAGUACUCCAUCUAGUUAUGUAACAACAAAUCUAUGAACAGCCUCCUUGACUACGGCCUACUCUCCUUGCUUCUCCCCUCGUCUUGGCUGCUACAUGGGAACGGGUGGCCGUUCUGAAUAGAAAUAUAUGGAAGUCAACCUGAUGACUUUUUUUUGGUAAAUAACCUGAUGAUUUGAGAACCAGAUGGAUGACAUCUGUUCUCAUUCAGCAUACCAUGUUCACAUGAGGAACAAAAAGGAAAGAAAAAAAAAUAGAAUCUAUAGUAAAAACUUUCUUCUGCGAUACUUGUAACAAGAAUUUCUACGUAAUAGAAGCUUAAACUACGGUCUUCUCUCUUGCUUUUUUGCAAUAUUUUUUUUUCUUUCAAUAAAAUUUGGAGAAAGUUGCUCACUCCCUCCAUUUUAUAUAUAUAAAAAGCUGAAACUUGGGGUGGAUCAGUGCGUUAAUUUCUCCGACGUGAGUCAUGGUCGCCGUCAGUGAGGGACAUUAAUUCAUUGUUGGUGUCGCCACCAUUCUAUCUGCUGGGAAUUAUUCCACAUGGCUCCUACAUUUGGACUUUUAAUUCCUCCUGUCCUAUUUUUCGGCCGUUAAAAUCUACUUGGAUUUUAUUAAGAAAACUUGGACAGCCUGGAGGAAAAGUCCAGUCAAAUGGGGAAACUUGAGUUAUGGUCUUGAAGAUGGCUGAGGUAGGGGAGCUUGCUGUCAAAGAGAAAAGGACUGCAUCUUUCGCUAGAAAAGAGGAUUGUGCAAUAAUCGCUUUGAAAUAUGUGCAGACCGAUGGCAAAAGAGUUUGGAAUACUUGCAAUCUAAUGGUCAACUAAGAAAUCUCUUUCAGUUGGUUUGGUCCAAAUUGGAUUUCUCGAAGAUGGCUGAGGUAGGAGAGGUUGCCGGUAAUAGGAAAGGAUUAUAUGUUUGGCGCGAAAGAAGAAUUCACCUUCCUUCGCUUGAAUCCAUCAUUGGAUUGUGUAAUAAUUACUUCUAGAUUUGUGCAGACCGAUGGCAAAGAGAUUCGAAAUGCUUUGAAAGUUUUGUAAGAUGCGAUCCAAUAGUCGACACCACAAAAGAAGAUUAAUCAUUCUUUCGCACGAGGGAUACAAUCUGAACACACUGCGAAGUGCGUCACGUAGGCAUACAAUCUGAUUUUAUUCACCUCUAUUACUUCUUCCACUUAUAACUUGUAUUUUGGGUCGAAAGCUAUUGGGUAUAUUUUUUGUCCUCUUUUGCUAGUAAGUGAAAUUUGUUGCGGAGUUACAUGGCACCAUGAUGUCUUUGAAAAAAACAAAACAAAAGAUGGCACCAUAAUGGAGCAUGCAUAGUUGUAGUUGCAUCUCAUGAACAAUUCAAACAAAUGUGUUACAUCAUGGUAUAUGGCUGUUCUGGUUUUAAGAAUCGCAGCGAUUGGCUUGGUAUUUAAACAUCGAAAAGUUAAUUUGAAAAGGAAUAAGUUAAUUCGAUCUUAUCCUAUUUCGUUGAUGCAUGUUACUGUGAAAAAAAUGUGAGUAAAACAAAAGAUGGGUGUGAGCAAUUUGAAGAACAAAAUGACUGGACCUUUGUGCCAAAUACCCAUAACAUGAUGAAGAAACGUAGGUAUAGCUCUAAUUUUCCAAAUCCAUCCGACAAAAAGAGAACAUGGUAAUAUUUCACUUUAAAAAAAAAUCUAAACAAAUAAACAGGCAGAAUGUUUUCUAUCCAAGAUAGGAGUGUUGUUUCUUGGCAUUCAUAAAAUGCCAGAGAGCAAGGCAUUAGUUAUGACAUUAAACCAAACCACAGGAUCCAAAUCCAACAAACAAAAGAAAUUUUUGGCAUUCCAGCAAGAUAUCUAUCUAUCUAUCUAUCUAUCUAUCUAUCUAUCUGUAUCUAUAUAUAUCAAUCUGGUCAACGAGAAAAGCUAAUAGCUAAUAGUGAUCAAUAGUCAAAUUAAUCAAUCAGAGGAAGGUGAU